This 56195-nucleotide long non-coding RNA is filed under the name Linum usitatissimum (flax). Its description in RNAcentral is "long non-coding RNA (LUSI_LNC003095)". The record is from RNAcentral. Lineage: Eukaryota; Viridiplantae; Streptophyta; Magnoliopsida; Malpighiales; Linaceae.
GUCUAUGCUCUGACUGAACAUCAUGAAGGAAAAGGAGAAGAAGGAGAAGAGGAAGAGGAAGAGGAAGAGGAAGGGUAAGGAAGAGAAUUCAAAUCUGUCUCUUCUUUCCUUGAGAGGUUAGAAGAAGAAGAAGAAGAAGAAGAAGCUAUAAACAGGCAAGUCAUAGAGGCAAAAGGGAAGGCCCAAGCCUUUCUUCCAGUGGUGUUUUUUUGGGGGGGUUUCCUUGUUGGUUGUUUCAAACCGUCUUCCGUGUGUUGUUGUCGUCGUUGUCCGUCUCUAUCUGUUUGUAAGUUGAUUAAAAAUAAGAUUAAAGAGUGUUGUCAGUCUCAGACUGGGUUAGUGGGAAAAGGGUGUCUUUGUGUUUUAUCUGAAACGGGCAAGUUUGACUGCUUCCUUUCCUUUGUUUUUCUUUUGCCCUUUGUUUGUAUCAGCACAGCACAGCAGAGACAGAGUCUAUUAAAAGCUUUACCUCCCUUCUUUUAUUAUCAUAUCUGUUAUAAACUUGCUCUUGCCCAAGGCUUCAAGCUGAUCUACUGAUUCACCCGUCAUUUAUUUGAAAUACUACUUAAUAAGUAAGUCUCACUUGUCUUAUCCAUCCUAGCACUUCUCACUUAUCAAUGAUUCCUCUUACAGGCGAUCCAAUUGAAGAGUUGUGUUUCGACUUCAGUUCAUCCACCGAACGAAGCUGCCGAUUUAGCAGCACGAUUUUACUGCUUUCCAUCCGAGCGUCUCCUUACAGAACUAUCCCGAGUACAACACGCGAUCGAAGAUUGGAGAAACAAUGAUCCAGCAGAACUUGCUUUAAUCAAAGAUUGGAGAAACAAUGGUGUGUUUUAAAUUGAUUAAAGUAUGGGGUGAUCCAGCAGAACUUGCUAUUAGAUCAGCCUCAACAAAACAUGGGACAUCAACAACUCUUCAUCUAACAAAACUCUAUGUCCCUUCUUUCAAAACCAGACACUUCUAUUACGCAGCAGCUACUUUCACUAAUCAUAAUCAUAAUAAUACCUAUUUAUUAAUCUCCGUCAUCGUCGUCAUCGCCAACGAUUUCUGGGACUAACUACUCACUCAAGAUGUAGAUGUUUCUUCAUAGCUUCAUAAACCAUAUACGUUAUACUUGCUGCUGGUACCACCUUUAGCAGAUUUGGAAACAGUCCUUUGUAGAACCCUCUGUAUCCUUCUUUCUCAAGUGUUCUCAAGAACACAUCAGACAUCCCCUUGUAUGGAGCUGCAGCAUUUGCUUGUUGAGCUUGCAUUCUGUCAAACAAUUCCAUUAAAACCAACAGUGAAGGUGCAAGCUAUCGCCUUUGUUAUGAUCAAAGUAUAUACCUGGUUCGAAUGACCUGCAAAGGGUAGACACAGGUUGCUCCGGCUGCUCCUGAGAUUGUGCCACAACCUAGUUGCACAAGAGGGCCAGCUUCUGAAACGCCAAAGAAGCUUUUACGUUAGCAAAUCGAAUCGAAGACUCGCUAAGAGAUUGAAAAGACAGGGUCAAUGAAAGGAGAAGAAGUACACACCACUAUCAUUCAGAAGAUAUGUCUUGGACAUUUCCUUUAAGGUCUCAUAAGCAGCAAGAUCAAUGCCAGCAUAAGGAAUAAUACCAAUAAGGGAGGGCACAAGACCCUUAUAAAAGGCUCGAGGCCCUUCGUGCACCCAUAUGUCCCUAGUUAGGGUCCCCAAUUUUGGUGCCUUUCCACCUUCACAUGCAUGGGUCUGUAAUCGAGUUUUCACGAGAUCCAUUGGAUAGACAGCAGUUUGCGCUACUGCACCGGCCAUUCCGCCAGCCAAAAGUCUACCAGAUGUACCGAUAUCGGCGUCCUCUUCCCCUUUCAAAUCUUUAAUGACAUUUUUCAACAUCUCAUACGCAUAAAACUUAAUAGCACUUUCGGGAGCAACCUUUACCACGUUCAGCCCGUUACCACGGAAAAACCCGAGCAAACCAUCGGCCUUCCAUAUCUUCUUUACAGCAGGUACAAUAGAGGCACGAGUGGUCUGAACUUGCAAAACAACCUUGAGGCGGUCAAGAGGAGCAGUUGCGGUACGUGAAGUUGCACCAGCAAUUCCUCCUGCAAUAAAAUAUUUACUCCUGUGAACCUGUUUGCUGAUGCCUUCAGGAAUAACAGCGUGUUCUCCAAUAUCUACGAGACACAUUCUUUCCCAAUAAUGAUAUAUGUUCUCGAUGGUAGCUUCGUGUGGAUACAGCAAAAGAAAAUCUCUCCAUUCCUCGAAGGUUAUGAUCCCAUCGUUGUCUUUAUCGACAUGCUCUACAAAACGGGCAAGCUCCUCAUCAUCAAUUUGAAUACCUGCAAAACAGAAGCUGCCGUGGCUUAUAAGAUGAACACAACGGGCAAGAGUCACUUUGUGGAAAAUGCUUACAAUAAUGAAGAACAUAAAGACUAAUAAGUAGGUCGAUCAAAGUUACACAACAGCAAACAUAAUAAGAAUGGAUUUCUAUGUAAAAAGAUUACUGAAUGUAGAAAAUUGAACGAGCACUCUUACCGGUGCUGGCACAAUGUAGAACAAAAUUUGAUUUUUUUUAUGAGGAUAACUAAUCUGAAUGCAGUUCAAGGGGCUUUGCGGAUUGGUAAGCCUUGGCCCUCUAAACACCCAACUAGUCCAAAGAGCGAUUGAUUUGAAGAACAUACUUGGUUGGUGACCCACAUGGGGAUAUUCUCCAAAUGGUUGUUUCUGGAUCAAAACUUGGAACAUUCCUAACUCAAGUCCCAAUCCUUUACUAAAAAGCUCAGGUCAGCCCACGUAGAGUUCAAUAUAACACAGAACUAUCCGUCUCUGAACAGAAAAACGUCCUUAUUUGUUCUCAAUUCACUGACAGAUGAAAACUGGAAAGGGCGAAAUUAGAUUAACCAAAAUAAGAAUAAUAAACAGUUCCAAAAAGAAUCACAUAUGAGCAAGGCGUGUUUUCAGAAAAGACUUCCUAGCUCUUAGUUCUUCCGCCACAUAUCAUAAACCAAAAUCUUAUUAGAUGCUAGUGUUCAAAAUAUCAAUUUUUCUGACGAUAGAGAUUCACAGUUAAUCUAAUUAUCCGACAUAUCAACACUACAAAUGCCAGUUCCAGACGUUGGAACGGGGACCAUAUACGUAGUAAGCACAAAUCAAAACACCAUUAAGAACUUACCCAAGCCAACUAUAACCAAUCAUUAAGAAUUGCACCACUUAAAGCCAGAAGCAAACCUGUAGGAACUUGCAAUCUCUACAUGCACCAGACUUAGCAAAUUCACAUCCCACAUCAUCACUGCAAUUUCCGAUUUCCAACUUGUACCUUCUCUAAAUUCCACCAUUUUAUUGACAAGUGCAAGAGCAAGAGAUACCGUGAAACACACAGAAACGUGCAAACUGAGCAUACAUCCUAGCUUAUCACCUUCAUUUCUAACUUUGAACUUCCCCUUCUACAAAUUCCCGCAAUGGUAGUCGCCUUGAGCAACAAAAGCACAUUGCUCAAUUAUCUCGGCAAUGGGCGUCUAGACAGUAAAACACUACUCUUUUCUAAAAGUAAGACCCGAAGCCUAGACAAGGUUCCAGUAAAGGAAGAAUUCAUUGAUCGCAAUGAGUUUACAUAACAUGAUGCGAAUGGUAUCAGCAAGAAAAAGAGAGGAGUUGGGGUCAGUACCAGCGGUAACAAGGGCAUCCCAGAGCUCCUCGGGCAAAAUGCAGCCGCUGUGUUCAACAUCAAUAGCCUGGAAAAUCCUGUACAGCUCCAGCUCUUUAGCAUCCAUGUAUCUCUUGAACUCCACGUAAUCAACCCUCCCAUCUUUGUUAGCGUCACACACCUUCAACAAAUCCUUGGCAUACUUAUACUCGGGCGGAAUCUGAAGCGCGGACAGACCGGUCUCAAUCUGGACGUAAUCCAAGUAGCCAGAAUUGGCCAGAUCAAAGAAAUUGAACAAGCUCCUAAUCCUGACAUCCCUCUCUUCCUUGGUCUCCCUGAGCGCCAGCAGAACGUGGUCCAUGGUCACCCCCGCAGCCGCCGCCUUCUUGAUUGCUUUAUUCACAUCCAUCUUAGGCAUCCCCUGCUGGCGUUCGACGGCGUGAGACAUCUGGGGAAAAGAAAUAUGCGAUAACCAACCCCUCCAAUCAGAAAUUGAUUGUGUAACCUAACUCCUAACGGCGACUUGGCAUCGAGGUAAUGCGCAAGAAGAUGGAGAGAGAUUUACCCCAGAGAGAUAACGAAAAAAGCCCGGGGGAAGGCUGCCACGUGGAAUGAAUGAGGGGGGAGAUGGACGGUGGUGGUAGGCAAUUCAGCGGCGAUCGUCGUCCAUGUGUUUGUUAAAAUGCGUGUGAUAUUGUAUUGUACAGAGAAAUGAGAUGGGGAGCUGGGACUGGGGAGGCCGGAGGAAGGAGGUAACUGUGUGCGUUAUCCUGCGAUUGGAAUGGAACCCAAUUCUCCAUUCACCAUUAUUAUUAUUUCAAUAAAAAUAUAUUUAUUAAUAUUUUGUUCGCUGUGGACCGUGUGUUCAUCUACAACGGGGCAAAAGAGAGAAAUUUUAAAGAAACUCAUCGAAAUUCUAAAGAAUGCUUGUGGAUUUUAUAUUUCUAGAGGUCUAGAUUAAUUAAUUUCGGAUGUGAGACCGACGGUUCUCUUCAAACACGAUAUGUCAUGUUUCUAUAUGUUUUGUUGUGAUUUAUCAUAGAUAGUAUGCAUUAAUUAUCAUUUAGUUAUUGCACGAAUGUUAAGUUAAGUAUAUAUUAUAUAGUUUUGAUUAGUUGAAUUUGAAGAAUAAUAAUGCAUUUUAUCAAUUCGUACCUUGCAUCCUUGUAUUUUGAAGAGGAAGGAUUUUUCUUCUGGGACACAAAACGAGAAAGUAGGUAGACAUAACUAAAUUUAGGCACUCGUUUGCCACUUGUUGAUGGGUUGUUUUUCAACCCCUUUUCAUUGAUUUCUGAAGCAUCAAAACCAUUCCGCAUCUUCCUCUUCAUCAAUCAUCCUUCGGUCAAGAAGAAGAAUCGCUUCGAAAACAAAAUAGAAAACAGGCAUAGAGAUGGAAACACCAAAAGGAAGAGAGAAUCCCAAAUUUUCAAAAGGACAAAUGAGAAGUAAAGAGCAAUCCAAAGAACGCAAAGAGAAGAGGCGUCAAGAGAUUUCUCUCCUCCGAACCAUUCCUUAUUCCGAUCACCAAAGGUACCUAGAUUUCUAUAAGUUAUGUGCAUAUAUUAACAAUUUCAUGAAUCACAAUAUUGUAUUACUAUUGGUUAGAUGGUGGUCUGUGGAGACAGUUGCCAUGGUGACAGGCGCCAACAGAGGGAUAGGGUUUGAGAUAGUGAGACAACUUGCGGGACAAGGCAUCACAGUAAUACUAACUUCGAGAGAAGAGAGCGCUGGAGUGGAAGCGGCUAGCGUGCUGCAAGAAUUAGGCCUCAGUGUGGCGUUUCACCAGCUCGAUGUUCUGGACAAUUCGUCGAUUCAGGAAUUCUGCGAGUGGCUAACAAUUCAUUAUGGUGGCAUAGACAUUCUGGUUAACAAUGCAGGGGUUAACUUCAACAUGGGGUCCGAGAAUUCGGUGGAAUCCGCUCGGAUGGUCAUAGAUACUAAUUAUUAUGCACUGAAGAAUGUAACCAAGACUAUGAUCCCUCUGAUUAGAUCAUCUCAAGCUGGUGGCCGUGUUGUUAACGUCAGCUCACGGCUCGGCAGGGUCAACGGGAAACGGAAUGUAAGUUUAAUUUGCAAAACAUCUUGGAAACUCCUUGGUUCGAAUGUAGUUAAAUUUUCAAUUUUGAUCUUAAAAUUUUACGAUUUUAUUGAUAAUGAAAUGUGCAGAGGAUCGAGAACGAGGACAUAAGGGAACAACUAAACGACAUGGAGAAACUGUCGGAGGAACUGAUAGACAGGACCAUGUCCAAAUUCCUAGAGCAGGUAGAAGACGGGAGCUGGGAAUCAGGAGGGUGGCCUCACGCAAACACCGAUUACUCCGUUUCGAAACUCGGGGUGAAUUGCUUCACCAGGCUUCUAGCUAAGCAGCUCAGCGAUCGACCAGAAGGCGAGAAGAUCUACGUGAACUGCUACUGCCCUGGGUGGGUGAAAACUGCAAUGACUGGGUGGGCUGGUACCAUAUCGGCAGAGGACGGUGCCGAUACCGGAGUUUGGCUCGCCCUCCUUCCUGAUCAGGCUAUCACCGGUAAGUUCUUCGCCGAGAGACGUGAGAUCGGCUUCUGAUGUCGGUGUUUUUCUUGUUGCUUUCUUAUUGUACGUGUGUCUUGCUUAACUAGCUAACUGCAUUCUUUGUCUUGUCUAAUUUCUUGGUUGCGAUUGAUUAAUUAAUUUAGUUGGUGUAUACGUACAAUUGUACUUCAUUUUGUUUUCUUUGAUUUCAGUCAUUGUUUAACUGAAUAGAUAUCAAGUUAUACGUACAAUAAAGAUGUUGUAUGCUGGUGAGUCCAAGGGUAAUGUAAGUGUAGAAAAAAGCAACCCGGCUACGGUUUCGAGAGAUGAUCUCGACAGACUGUGGGCCGAUGGAUUAGGUCACUUUUAGAUCAACGUUCAUCCAACAUUUGAAAAUGAGUCAAACGAAUUGAUUUUAGCGGGGCAUGAAUGUGGUCAUUGUACAAGUAUGUUAUGCCGCUAAUACGACUAUUUUACGGGCUUGUAAUGUUGUUGUUACGUCCACCUUACAAGUAGUUGAAUUCAUCAUCGUUAUGUCCAGUUUAUAACUCUUUUAUGUCGGUGAUAUUUACACUUUACGAGUAUGUUAUGAGUUUUUUAUUAUGUCCUUUUAAUAGGCUCAUUAUGUCGACUUCGUAUGUAAAAUGCUAUAUCCUCGUUACAUCAUUGUUAUGUCAUUGUUAUAUCUAGUUUAUGUGACACGAUUAGAGAGAAGAGAGAGAAAUAAAAGUUGAAAAGAGGGUAUUAUUGGGCGAUCCCAACAGCCAAAAUAAGGGGUAUAAUUGAGAUGACGCCACGUAUAUUUCCGACAACACUUAAGCCUACUAGUCUUUUGGGCUUGGUCGCCAUGGAAUUCUAUUAAGCAACUCAUUCAUUAUCGGGGCGGUUAGGGUUGGGUGGUCAAACCACGAGCGGUUAAUUUUCAAUGAUAAAUUUCGAAACGGUUGACUCUUAUAUGAGCCAAUCAGUUUUCUCCGGAACGGUGCUUGGGCCUUUGAGGCCUUUCUGCAAGAGCAAGUCUGCCACGAGUUCAUCAGUUUAAAACCUCCAUCAUGAACGAUCUAAGUAUCGCCACAUAUCCUUAAACACCACGGCCAACUUUUACGACCGACGGGCUUUUUCAUUUGCCUGCUGACAAGGAAGAAGAUGGGAAAGGGAACCAAAGAGCGUGCGAAAGAGCGACGAGAAAAGAUACGCCAAGAGAUUUCCCUUCUCCGUACCAUUCCCUACCCCGAUCACCAAAGGUAAAUCAAUCUCCUCUCAUUUUUUCAAUCGGAGAUAAUAAUGGAUGCCGCCGUCAAGCUAAAAUUUUGUAACCCGGUGGUUAGGGUUUCUUCAGGUGGUGGAACUCUGAUACUGUGGCCGUAGUUACUGGUUCAAACAGAGGAAUAGGGUUUGAGAUUGCGAAACAGCUUUCCGGCCAUGGAAUUACUGUUAUACUGACAUCCAGAAACCCUAAUUCUGGAAUUGAAGCUGCUAAGUUUUUGCAAGAAUUAGGCCUAUCUGUAGUGUUUCACGAGCUUGAUGUCCUGCACACUUCGUCUAUCGAUCGUUUUGCUGAGUGGAUAAAACACGAGUAUGGUGGUAUCGACAUUCUGGUAAAGUUAAAUUGGCAUUGGCUGAAAUCUAGUUUUUGUUCUGAUAAAAUCUCCAUUGGAAGUAUUUUGAAUUCGGCUGCUGAUUUGAUCCAGGUGAAUAAUGCAGGGGUUAACUUCAAUCUUGGUUCUGAUAACUCUGUCGAAUUCGCCCAGCUGGUCAUUGAUACCAAUUAUCAGGGAACUAAGAACAUGACCAAAGCCAUGAUCCCAUUGAUGAGACAUUCUCCAGCUGGUUCGCGAAUCGUUAAUGUGUCCUCCAGGCUGGGUAGAGUGAACGGGAGACGAAACGUAAGCUAGGAACGAAGAAGAAGCUUCAUAUCUCGCGAGCAUCUUUCCUAUGCUGGAUUACCUUAUAUACCUGUUUAUGAUAUUUGCAGAGGAUUGGAGAUGUAACGCUAAGAGAACAGCUAAGUGGUGCCGAGACACUUUCGGAGGAGUUAAUUGACACGAUGUUAUCGAGUUUCCUCCAGGAAGUUGAAGACGGGACUUGGGAAUCAAGCGGGAGGUGGCCUCAGGUGUUCACGGACUAUGCACUGUCGAAGCUCGGAGUUAAUUGUUUCACCAGGUUGAUGGCUAAGUUGCUCUCUGACAGGCCCGAUGGCGAGAAGAUUUCCGUGAACAGUUUCUGCCCCGGCUGGGUGAAAACUGCCAUGACGGGUUGGAAUGGUAACAUAUCGCCGGAGGAAGCUGCAGAUACCGGUGUGUGGCUGUCGUUUCUGUCGGAGGUUUCGACGGGGAAGUUCUAUGCAGAGAGGCGUGAGAUAAGCUUUUGAAAAUGGUUAUCCACCCAAACUUGUUUUUUUACAACAGCUCUCAGAACUUGUUGGUGUCAAGUUAUGUUCUUACUAAUUCUCGACUCAUUAGAACGUUAUUGCUAAUCAACCUACGUUUCACAAAUGCUGAUCGAAUUGGCUUUUCAACUUAGGUAGAAUCGACAUUUAUGAACAUGACUCUUGUUCAGAUUUUUCCGUCAAAAUCCACGAUUUCGUGAUUUCGGAAGCGCUUGGCUUUAUUUCGAGUGAUCUGUCCCACUGUCAAUCCUAUAGUGACCAUGGGAAUGCCCUUUUACAAUAGCAUUUGCCUACUAGUUGGAGGUAGGGCUGGCAAUUCAACCGUAGUUAUUUGGUUUAAACCGAAAUAAGAUGAACCGCAAACCAAAAUGGAGUGUAUGCAAAGUAGAAAGCAAAAUGAAAUUUUAACCCAACUCAGGUUUUGGUGAAUUUGGUAAUUUAAAAUCGGUUACGAAAACGGCUAAAAUGUAAUAAAUGUCUAAAUCAGUUAAAAUGUGAUAUCAAUUCGAAAUUGAUCGAAUUUGAAAUGAGCUACGGUUAACAUGAAUUCAACUCGGCUACAGACACGGUUAUAAUUUUCGAAAUCGUACUGCUUAAAUCGUUUUAGACUUAAUUGCGAACCAUAGGUGGAUUGGGGAGUGAACAUUUGGUUAGAGAAAAGGAACUGAAUCUCUAAACGAGGUCCUAGUUUUCGAGUUAAACAACGCCGUAGAUAGAGUGAAUUACGUUAUUGUCCUUGCGUAAAAUCGAAAUCUAUGUCAGAAUUUGUGUAUAUCAUUGAACUAACACUCUCAAACACCCUCAAUCAGAAUGGUACAGAGCAGGAUUCCGGCUGCCGUAUAGAGCCAGCCGGCCGGCGGGGGGGNNNNNNNGCGGCCACCGGCGCCCGGCGGUUCCGGCAGCCAACAAGUGCGGCUUCCGAAAUCAAGCUCCGACAGGAUAGUGUUAUUGACCUGAAUUUCGGCUCGGUCAGCAAAAAAUUACCUAAUUUUUAAAAAAAUUAUACUGUAAAAGAGAUUUUCGAAUGAGUAAAUUUAGAUAAUUUUAUUUUUACAAAAUUUAAAACGUUAUUUUAUUGAAAAAUUAAGAUAUCAUUUUAUUCAAAAACUAGAACAAACGAAGCCCCGAUAAUUGAUUGUGGCGGUAACCUUCCUUCUGUAAACAUCUAACUUUGAGAAAGCCCACGAUUCUCAUUUCAAGAUGGCGAGCUUAAGAAGGUCUUUGGCAACUGUCCGCCGUCUCCUCAACUCCACGCCGGCGACUAAUCGUACCUCUAUCUCGCCAAUUCCUUCCCAGUCCGUUUCCCUGUAUGAACGUAUUACCAUAGCCUCAAUUUCUCUCCUCCUUCUCCUCGUUUUCCUCUGGUUCUGACUUCGGAUUUUGGAUUAUUCUUCUUUUCAGACAGGAAUACGGUUUCUUCUUCUCUCGCUAUUCGACUCUCAACAGCGAUGAUUCUGGAUCGAAUCGUAUCGAUCUCUCCAGCGACGAAAGCAGACGCCGUCUGUGUAACAGGUGACAGUCCUAUCCUUAUCCUCCUGCGUGGAAUCAAUGAGAGAUUAUGAUGAAUUUUUCUUAUUCAUAAACCCUAGAAUCCUAAACCGUGAACUUUUUUCCUACAAUUGUUUCUUUUCAGGUUGCUGUAUAGAAGCAGGCAGAGAGGAUACCUGGAAUUGGAUUUAGUGCUUGGGAAAUGGGUUGAGGAGCACGUUCAUUCCAUGGACGAAACCAGGAUUAAAGCUCUCGUUCAUGUCCUUGAUUUGGUACGGAUAUUACGCUUCCAAUUUUGGUUGAUCUUCUUUUCUUCUUCUUUGGUUAUAGGUGUACAUGUAGUUAGUCCUCGAUUUCCCAGAUGCAAUGUUGUGAAGGAAUCAGAUAUCUGGUUGGCUGAUUCUGAAGUUCAUUAGGCUUUUUCUUCUGAGUUUACAUGUUAAUCAAUUUUAGUGUAGUACUUGAAUUAUAAGUCAGGACUUGAGUAUUCUGAAAUGGACGGAUUCUGAACUGGGGUCUCCAUUGGCUGUAUGAGAAUUAUCCUGCUCUCACCUCAGCUUCUACCUCAAAGGGUGAUUGAUUCACAUAAUAGCUUGUGACCAUGAAAUAUUUUGUCAAGGGGUUCAGAAUUUAUUGGAGUUUUUCAGGGUCUGCUUGUCAAUUGUUUCUCUUGAAGAAUGGCUUCUUGCUAAACUAACAGUUGUGGGUUAUAAGUAUCUGCUUUAACAAACGUGUUGCUCUGUGAUCUGUGAUCUUUUGCAGGAAAACCCUGAUCUGUGGAAGUGGCUAACUGGGCAGGAGCAAGCCCCUGAGGCUGUAGGCCAAAACCAGGUGAGAUACGUUUUCUAGGAGAAUCAUCCUAAUCUCUGCGCUAUCUUUCCAUACUUGAGCAUCGUUUUAACUGUUUGUGUUUGCUUGUGCAUUCCUAGGUGUUCUGCGAAAUACGUGAUAAGGUGAUGAACAAUCUCAACAGCCAUGCUGCUCCUGGUACGAGAGCGAUUCCGGGACAGCCAUGGGUUCGAGGAUGGGAUGACAUCAAGAAGAGUGCAGGGGCACCUGUCGCUGGGAAUCAGUAGCUCUUUGUGAUGUUCUGCAAUAUAUAGAAUUGAAUGUUAGAAAUAAAAACGCAUCUGAUAGCUGCAGGUUAGCACAUUAUUAUGGUGUGAAAUUGGAACACACAGAAGAGUGGAAGACAUGAUGACAACUGCCCUUCACUUGUUUGCUAGUUCAUCCUAGUAACUUGGCCUUAUGUUCUUCGAGCAGCUUAAUCACGGCCUCAGCCUCUCUCUUCUUCUUCUUUGAUGUCAUUCAAAUGAAUAUUUCACAAUAGUUUAUUAAAUAUUUUAUGUAUGGUGAAUGAAAUAAAUAUUCUGAUUUCUUUUCUAUAAUUUUUACUGGAAUUUUCCGAUCGUAUUUUGAUCAUAUAAUAUAUUACUUCAACAUUUAUAAUAUAAAAAAAUACAAAUAUCAAGAAUUUAACAGUUUUACUCAAGAGUAGCGAUAUUUAAAGUUUCACCUGCCACUUUAUCUAGAAAAGGAGAAUUCAAAGUAGUUGAGGAUAAAGCGGAUGCCCCAGUGUGUUCAAUUGAGCUCCAUCCAUCACCCAACAAUGGCUGCCUCUGCUAGUGAAUGCAUCUCCCUCUACGCCGCCCUUCUCCUCCUCCUGUUCUUAACCUCCUCCUUCCUCGCCACGGAAUCCUCUCCGGAAGAUCCAACCCCCGCGCCAUGGCCUCUCCAAUUCCACUCAGUACUCUUCAUGAACAAAAGCAACGGCGGAGGCCUCCAAAUGAUCGACCUCUGGUACGACUGGCCCAACGGCCGCAACUUCAACAUCAUCCGCGACCAGCUCGGCGAGUCAGUCAAAUACGACGCCGAAUGGAACAACGGCACGUCCUUCAUCUACACCCUCGGCGGCGACUCCUCCGCCGACCCGGAAUGCAAAGUCCUCCACUUUGAAGUCGGCAUCCUCCGACCUAAUUGGCUCGACGGCGCCAAUUACCUAGGUCAGCAAUACUUCGACGGCUUCCUCUGCAAUGUAUGGGAGAAGGUCGAUUUCAUUUGGUACUACGAAGACGUCCUCACCAAACGUCCUGUCCAUUGGACUUUCUACACAGGUUAGGCCACAUUAAAAUUGAGGUUUAUGAUCUUGCUAGGGUUUUGUGGGAAUUCGGACGAUAAUUGAGUUGACGAUUCCCUUUGUUUUGAUGAACAGGGUACACUGCUCAUGUGAUGACAUUUGAUGUGGGAGCAGUGUUGGAUGAUGCUGGAUGGCAGGCGCCACUGUCCUGCUUCUCCGACUCCGAUCAGCAAGUGGAAAAGAAGAGCCUUCCUGGAAUUGAAACUGUGGCUGGAUUUAGAUCCCUUCUCAGGCUGAACCAUAGCAGUAUUUGAUGCUUAUAUAUCAUCACUUUAUCUUGUUCUACUGUUCAUCAGUUCAUGGUCAUGCUUCCAGUAUGGAUAUCUGCUUUUAAAAUUGAUUAAAAUAUCUUUUUUUCUGUACAAAAUUCCAAUGCACGUGAGUAAACUUCAUUCACAAUCAAUUUAUUAUCAUCAUAACCUAAUUAAUAGGCUCACAAUGGAUCAAAAAUCAGAAAAUCAUAUACCCCGAAAAACAUCUCAUGACUAACGCUAGCAAGAUAAUUAGUUGCGUGACUUCACUAUAAACAUUAUAUAAACUCAAUCUCUUCUCCCACACUCUUUGCAUCAACUAAUCUCGCUACUGCAGUAUAGUGUUAGUGAUAUCAAGCUAACUGCACGAGCAGUACUUGUAUUUUCUGAUACCCUUUUUCAUGCUAUUUAAAAAUGAGUCACAAUUAUCCUUAACACUGUUCAUUCGGAUCGUGCAGAUCAAACACACCUCAAUAACAUUUGUAAUUCAGUACCAACUGCUUCUUUUACUAGUAGAAACUUUGAUUACAGGAGUUUGAUGAUAAUUAGCCGAAAUGCAACAAAACAAACGAGAUGAUCAACAAGAGGUUUAAUUUCCUUUUUUACAUCCUCCUAGCUACCUAAAUUGCUUCACAUCUUCCUUUACUCCUCUGCCUACAAGAAACUAGGCCUACGUCAAAAACUAACUGCCGCUGUACUACUAUUUCAUUUGCAAAGUCAUCUCUCGGCGAGGAGGAAUAUCCUUGGCAGCAUAUAUCAUCUCACGUGGCACCCUGCAGCCGUCACCCCGACAGUCAACCUUCUCCACUUUCAGAUUCGGAUUCAUGUUGCUCUGGUUGAUGAAUCUUCCAAGAUUCCCAUAUCGAGUCGCAUCGAUGAUCGAAUAGCAUCCUUUUCCGCCAGAAACACCACCGAUGUCGAGACGAUACCUGAUUCCAUCCUUCCUCACUUCCUUGUAUUCACCCACGUACUCACAGAUCAAACUUCCUGACGAAAUGUACUGCCUCGACCUCAAUCCCCAGCCCUUGACAUCGUCCUGCGUCCUGAAAACCUCAAACUGAAACUUGAUCGGUACCGCAUUUUCGCACUUGCAGCAGCAUCCUACAUUGACGUAAUUGAAAGGAGAUGGCCUCUCAUCGUCCCAACCGUUCACAACCGAGACAGCAAUUCCUUCUUUCUCUUCCGAGAUGUCAUUCUUUAUAAGUAUCUCUUCCCUUUUCAAUCUCUUCGUCGUCUUCUUUUCCGGAAUUGCAAUGUCGACAGGAGGUUGACCAGGAAUCCGAAUCAGCUUGAACUUAAACACAAGCUUCCCAAACUCAUCUCGUUCCUGCCGUACACUCUCCACAGUGUACAAUCCAUCGUAAACAUAAACACUAUCCUGACAAUCGGCCCUGUUCGAACUCAAACAUCGAAUGACACGAACUGGAUUCCUCGCCUCCAUGCUGUUCGCCAGGGCGAGAUUCCCUCUCUCGAGCUUCUGAUCAUCGAUGGAACCUCGAACACUCGUUCGAACGUUAGGGUUUCCUCCGUGGCCCGAGUAUAUAAGAACGUCAGAGGACAGCAUCAAGUUGGAGUAACGCUUACUGGCCACAAUGCUGAUAGCUACUCCAUUGUUGUAAUCCACACCAGCCAUGUACUGGCAGUGGAGCCCGAUCACUUUCAUCUCGGCUCUCGAUCGGAACUGGUCUCCAAUUUCGACUCCCGGAAUCGAACCGAGUCUUUUCCGUUUGUCCAUGGAUAUUCCAGCUCGUUGGAGUAAUGUCGCUGCCGCGAGAUAUAAAUCGUAAGCUUUUUUCCCCUGGCUUUUCUUCUGCAGAGUGUCGAGUUGUUCCCUGUAGAGCCUGAUGAUUUCUUGGACUCUCUUCCGCGCGUGAAUGGCACGCUCUUCUGCUGCAUCGGAUAUGAAUGUCAUCAUCAUCCCGCUUUUUCUCUUCUUCUCGUUGACCGUCUCCGGCGGAGGAGUUCUGUACCCCAUAAAACCCAGAAUGCUCUGUUUUUUUGGCCUAGUUGAGAGAAAAUGAAACAAUGACGGUUUAUUGUGAAAGUAAAACGCCGGGGUGGUAAGAAGAAGAAGUGGUUGAAGCCAUGAAUGGAAGAAAUUCAAAUCAAGAACCCAUCAAGAAGAUGAUUGACUGGAAUAAGUUACAGGAAGAGAGAGAUACAAAGGCACGGCAUUUCGUGAAGGUUCUGGGGAAGUGUGUGUAGUGUAGCUAGGUAUAGAGUAGGGUGAAAGAGUGGAUGUAGGAAAUUGGGGAGGAAGAAGAGUAAAUUUGCUAUUGUGGGUAGGAAUCAGAUGGCAGAGAGGGAUGAGAUGGGAGUGUGACGAACAUAGGAUCUGUGAGAGAUAGAAGUAACAGCUGAAAAAGUAAAUAAAGCUGAAAGCUUUCACAGUAGUCUGCAGACUGCAGAGAUUAAAUGGAGAGAGUGGCCUUUGGUAAUCCAUUCUUCCCUCGCAACGGAUAGUAAAUAGUAAUACUUCGAGUACGCCCACGACCCCCACGUAUUUCUCCCACUUUCAUUUUGAGAAUGUGUUUUUGAAAUUCUGUUUACUCUGCUUUUUUAAUAUUCAUUCAAUAAGAAAUCCGACUACACACGAUCAAUAUACAACAAUUUCGUAUAUUUUUUGCUUUUUUACUUCAAAAUUAUUUUCCAAAAUAUUUUCAGUUUGAUAUAAUCCAAAUUCGAAAAAUAUUUAUGGACCUGUCUCGGAACAAGUUUGAUUUUUAUGUUUUGAAAAUUGAUAAUUUUUGAAAUGGCAUAUUCUCAAAAUGUUUUGUUCGAAAGUAAUUUAUUUAUGGUUGAGUUUUUUAAAAAAAAAAAUUUUUUGUUGUUGAAUUACUAAAUUAUUAUUUUGUCUCAAACUGAUAAACCGUAAGACAAAGAUAAUAUUAAANNNNNNNNNNNNNNNNNNNNNNNNNNNNNNNNNNNNNAGGUCUAUUCACACUUAUAUUUUGAUACAUCUCAACAUCUCAUGCCAAAUAUGAAUAUAACUUAGUACACAAACCAAUCUCAUGAGAUUUUUAUGCGAGAAAAUCAUAUAUUAUUCAUAUUUUUUAUUAAGGCAUAGUAAUGUGAGACAUAUAAAAAGUCUUAUUGGAGAUAUAGUUUCACCAACAAGGCUAGCAUGGAUCAUGAAUCUUUAUAAUAACAAACACUUCAAUCCUUUCCCUCUAACAAACGGACAAUUCAAUAAAGAUUCAUCCUAAAAAUAAAAAAUGACGACAUUAACAAUCACCAACAAAACAAAACACACAAAAAAGUUAAAAUUAAAAAUAAAAUUAUAAAAAAAAAUCUAACAAAUUUGGAUGCGAUUAACAACCAUCCUAUUUGAACGGCUAAAGAAGGUUAGUUCCUUUCUGAUAUUUUUAUUGGGUAAUAUUACCUCAUGCAGGAUGAUUUCAUAUAUAUAUGUGGCACAAAUACCAUUGGUGGACUGCAAGAUGCAUUAAAGUCCUUAAUCAAAAGGAAUACUUAUGGCCAGUAUAAUUAAUAGGUUGUUGAUUGAUUAUUAUUAUUAUUAUUAUAAGGGUAAUCCCAUUAAUGGUGCAUCUAAAACAGUGAAAACAGUGGCUGGAAUUGGUGCAUAUUGCAGACCCUGUACUGUACAUGUAACAAACAUUAUAUUGCUGCGAUAUUUUAGACCGAUUUCCCGUUUUGAUGCGAGAUGUCGAUUGUCGGCUAAAAUGCUUGCGAACUGCCGUCGAUAUAUUAUUCUAUCGUAUUAACGGUGAGGAGCAAUCGGCCUUUGUGCAUGGAAGAUCGAUCAAUCAUAUAUAGCGUGUUUGUUGCUUUCGAAACUUUGCAUACCAUCAAAGAUAAAACGAACGGGCAAGAUUGAGAUGUGACUUUCAAGAUUCGACAUAUCAAAAGCUUAUAACCGUGUUGAGCGGGACUAAUUGGAGAAAUUGCUUCUCAAAAUGUUGUUUGGGGAACGCAUGAUAUAACAUGUUUAUGUGUGUGAAAUCCGUGAAUUAUAUGGUCACGAUCGUGAAAGUUGGUCCAAUCUCGUAUGAAUGGGCCAGGGAUUAUGUAAACAUUGUCCCUUGUAUCCUUUUAUAGUUCAUCCUUUGUGUGGAAGGUCUUUCCGGUAUGAUCCAAUGAAAGGUGAAUACCCUAUCCCGAUUUUAAAGUCUUUUUAUUUUUAAAAGUGAUCCCUACAUAUUUUAAAAUAAUAAUAAGGACGAUUUUUGAAAAUGAAGAUGAAUUAAUUGAGGUGGAUAGCUAUUUGUAUCCUUUUAUAAUUCAUCCUUUGCAUAGAAGGUCUUUCUCGUUUGAUCCAGUAAAAGAUGAAUACCCCAUUUCAAAAUUUCUCUAUUUUCAAAUAUGAUCCCGUUAUUAUUUCACAACGUCUUAUAUUGAGAUAUUAUAUGGCUAUCCACAUCCAUACAAUUCAUCUUCACUCUAAAUAGUCAUUUUUAUUAUUAUUUUAAACUAUAUAGGAACCAUUUUUGAAAGAAGAGGUAAUUUGAAAUUUAAAAAGCUUCACCAGGUGGUGUGAUUUGGGGAAGCCAUUGUCGGGUCCUUAAAGCUUACACUAUGAAUACAGGCUGCUGGUGUUCCAUAUUACUAUUUCGGAAUUGCACGCAAUAUUGCCGUAUUGGUGAGGAUUAUAGCCUGCUUUAUUUGACUGUUUCGUUCUGGAGUUUUUGGUUGAUGCUUCUGUCGAGGCAAAUGGGCAGUUGAUAUUAAACUGGUGCUGACUGCUGAUAGCGUUCAUGAUCCGACGGAAUAUUAAUAAAUCUGUCCAUACAGUACUUACAAAAUCUAUUACAUUUUCAUUAAAUCGUGUUUAGGCUUUGGAUUUAUGCUUAGGAUGUUUUUUUUUUCUACUCUCCCUACAAACAUGUAUAUGAAAAAAAAAACAUGAUAACAAUGGUUGACGUGGCAAAAAGUAAUUUCGACUCCGAUCACUCUUUAAUCUCGGCUCCACGACUCAAUCGACGGCGACCGGAGUUUCCUUUCCUCUCGUCGGGGAUGAGGAGGUAAAGGGUGUAAGAUACAAGCGUGGGAAUGGGAACGAGCUCUGGCUCAGAUAAGGACGACUCCGAUGGAUGGGGCAAAACUCAGGGACUGGUGGUGAAGACGCUGAUUUUGAUCGGAGGUGCCUUUCUGGUGAAGCGGUUUACUAAAUCCACUACACGUUGGGACCAUGCUAACCACGUUUCCCAAUCGCUCUCCGGUGAAAAAGGUACUCUUCUCAGUUCUUUUGUUUCCUUCUGAGAUUUUGUUGUUGUUGAUGUGGUUCUAAAUUCCUAUUCAAAUUCGAUUGUGGAUUUCCAUCGUUGCGAGUAGUCCUCGAGGGAGCAAGCAUCCAGAGAUCCUGAUAAUUACUUCAACAUUAGGUAGUGUAGUGAUGCCUCCACACACUUUGUCUUGAUUUUGCAACUAGGAGCUUCCAUGCCUUUGUAUCUUAGUUGCAGGAAGGAAGUUGGAGAGUCAUUCCCAAAUUCCUUUACAUUUGUGCUUGUGCCUUAAUUGUGGAUGCUUUCUCAAUUUGAAAUGUGCAGGACGAUUAUGUGUCCUGCUGCUGAAAUGGUUGAUGGUACACAGGUUUUGUACUUUGAACAGGUUGAUGAGCCAGCUCUAUUGCCUCAUUUCAAGUGUUGUAUAUAUGAGUCUUGUUUUAUCUCCAGGUAUCUCAGCUUGAGUGCUUGACUAUUAUUAUGUUCUCUUUCUUACCAGGCAUUUUGGCGCAAUCCUCAGAAACCCUUUCGGCAAGUAAGCUGCUUCACCUUCUUUACCUAUUGUUUUGGAGUGGACAUGGUGGCAUGGUCCUAGACAUGAUAUACUUGAACCUGAAUGACAUGUUUUGUUCUCAUAAUCUUCUCCCGGAUUUCGAUAGUGCAGUGCGAUUCAUCAUGAUCGAUUGCAACUUGUUUGUCAUAGAUCAAAUGGGCUUGGGAACUGUUGUUGGAAGGACUUAAGAACCCGAUAUUUUCCCUUUUUUUAUUAUUUUAUGGCUUGUAUAUCUUUUCGUUUAAAGUUGCAAUACUACUAUUUAUGUACUAAUUAUCAUGCUUGUACAUUACAGAGGUUCUACAUGGUGAAGCCUUGCCCAAAGGAGUUGAAAUGUGAUGUGGAGGUACUAGCUUUACUGUUUUCUCUGUUGUCUCGGUGUUGAAGUUUGAACUCCACUUGGUACCUAGUUACACUUAAAAACAUCAUAUGACUUUCUGUACUUCACGUGGACUUGCAGGUAAGCACUUAUGCAAUUAGGGAUGCAGAUGAGUACCUAAAUUUCUGUGAUCGUCUGAGAGAUCAACGACCACGUCCUGAAGAAGUAAUUAGUGUAAGUUUUAUGGACUCAUUUCAGAUCUAUGUGGGAAAAUUCUUGGUUUAUGUUAGAGUUGUUCUCAUGAAACUGCAUUGAAGAAUUAGAGUGGGACAUUUCUUGGUUUAUGUUAGAGUUGUUCUCAUGAAACUGCAUUGAAGAAUUAGAGCUACAGAUUUUCGCCGGAAUAGAAGACUAGGCUGGCUGAGGAUCCUACAUGUCGCAUUUCAUGCAUGCAUUUGCAACACUGACAUAACAUUCUUUUUUGUUUUGUUAAAUCGACAUGACAUUCUAUUUUCUAUUAUUGUGUACAAAGCUGGUUGGAUUAUGUAUCUAAAGAAAUGAGCAGUAAAUUUCACAAAUAAGCAGAGGCAUUUUGAGUGUAAUUCCUUUUCCACAAGUGGAAUGCUUGUCAGUAGCGAUAUGAAUAGGGGGUGGAUAGUUGGAAGUUUCAUAUGUACUGCGGUAGUGGAGUUUAGCUGUGUUUGUGAUGCUAGCACCUUCGCCAUCAAUGCAGGGCAUUGCAGAACAGCUCAGUACAUUACAUCUAAAACGAUGUGAUCGUGGAAAACGCUGCAUGUACAAAGGUUCGACGCCUCCUGGAGGAUUCCCUAACACAUGGGUAUGUGAGCUGUUUCCUGCUUCUAUUCCACAUUUCAAUUCCCCACAGAUCAUUUUGUGCAAACCACAAUGUCUUGUACUUUUGUUCCAGCCAUUCACUUCUUCUAGUUGAUAAAGAGGAGCUUAAGCCAUACUCUUGUGUCAUCAGCAGCCAUUAAUAAUACUCGUUCAUCCAUACCUUUUCUCCCACUUAUUAGAAUGACGCCACUUAUUGUACCUCGGAACUUUCCGUAUUGAAGAACAACGAAGUGCAUAUGUGGGACAGGUGUUACGAUGAUGAUGGAAACCAGGUUAGCUUUAUUUGAUUCUGGAUUUUCGUUUUUAUCACCAAACAGCGGGUUAGCCUGGGAAUCAAUGGCUUUUGUUUUGACAGGUUUGGGGAUCAAGGGAAAGUCCAUACGAGUUCAAGCCUGCACCAGGUUCUUCUGGCAGUCUGAAUGGGAUUUUCUCUUCAUUGAAUCUCAGUCCACUAGCAAAAAGAUGAAGAGACUUCUUCCAUAUUGGAACCAAACCAGACCAUAGUUGUUGAAAGAAAAUGGACAUUGGCAGCAGAAGAACUAAACAAAGAGUUAAUAGCAUAGCAUGGAAUGCAUUUAUGUUUAAACUAGUUCGGUACUAACUACUUUAUGUUGUUACAUCGAUGUAUAUAGGAUAUCACAAGUUCAAUUAAGAUUAUCUUUUCUCCUUUCUGCAGUAUCUUCCUCACCUUGUGCCAUUCCUUCGUGCAUUUUCUAGACUAGACUGUUGUGAUAUUCUAGCUUUCGUGCAAUUUCUCGCCUUCGUGCAAUUCUAGACUCGUCUUUGUGCAAUUUCUCGCCUUCGUGCAAUCCGAACUUCAUUCAUCCUUUUCUUCAUCUUCUUUCCGCUUAUUUUACGAAACAACCAAACAAAAUGUACCACUUUUCUUGUUGAUUCGACCCCUUUCUGUGCAUGUGCCCCAAACCUCACCAACGAAUUAUCUUGGUUUGAAACUCGACAAAGCUUGAGGAGUGCCUUGAUCGUCGAUUCUCUCAAGAUCUUUAUCGGUAAACUCAUCUAUCUAUCCUUUCCUUUUCGGAAAUUUAAGAAUAAGUGUCUAUUUGCUUUAUAAGCGGUUUUUUUAUGUAAAUGGCUUGUCAUAUAUUAAUGCUCCAAAAUCGAACAAUUACGACAAAUAGCAUUCUCCAAUCAAUUCGGAGAAACAACAACUGUAGUGGGUGAAGCAAAAAAAUGCGACCGCUCUAGUCAAAAUAUGCCCAACCUUAUUUCUAGUCCUCAUAACUAUUUUAUCAGUGGGUUUUGCUUGUAAAACCUGUAAUUUUGAUUAUUAAAAGUUUACUAUAUCAAAAAAAUUAUAAAACUAACCUUAAAUUAUUGGCUUAAAUGUCUAAAAUGUCCCGAACUAUUAAUUUAUUAUUAAAAUAUACACUUGACCUUAUGAUUAUUAUGGAUUUGUCACCAACUAACUAUAAUUUUCAAAAAAAAAAUGUCACGUCGUGAGUACUACACUAAUCACCUAGAUCUGGAUGAGUUUCUUUCAUGCACAUUGGUUAAUUUAGCUUAAUUAAACGGGUUGAGUUGAAGGUAACAAAGAUGAUAUGGCGAUAAAGUGACGUCAAUAGAAAUAGUUAGUUAGCAUGAUGAUCUUUUACCUUAACAGAGUUUUUAGACGGAGAGCUAACAAGAUGAUAAGGGGUUACAAUUAAAAUGGAUUAGUCAUGUGUAAUCUAGCAUGGAUUGGUCCUUGAAGGUUUGCUACUGCACGUAUUAGGAGUGUUGCAGGUGUUUUUAGGUGGAAUGCAUGGAAAGAAACAAGAGUUUUAGGUGUAGUUAGUAUGGUAUAAAGCUCAAUCUUCUUUAUACAUUACAAUGAGGAACCUCAUCCAUUAAACAACAACAAGCAACAAAACUAAGUUUUGCAGUUUUAACCACCAAUGCAUGUCACCACAAACUCUACUAAACAACAGACCAUCCGCAACCCCAGAACCUGCAUAUCCUCCUCCCCCAUGCAUUACCAAAAUCUAGAAAGAAGAAAACAAUUUACACUUCUGUAAAUCUGCAAAUUUGAUUCCUCUAUUGGCAGAAAACCCUCAGUUUCUUUCUUUCUCGGUAACCGCUGCGGCUACCAAGGUUUGAGAUCACCAACAGGACCAGCAGUCCAGUUCAAAAUCUUCUCCCCAGGACUCAAGUACACACUCUUCUCGUGGGGAAGUUUACGCGCCAGUCCGUUCAAAACUUGAUGGAAGGCGUCACCCGGUUGAGCCGGUUGAGGGAACAACAUCGCCUGCUUCAUCGAAGGGUUAGCCAGCAAUCUCUGUUUUCUCAGUAUAACCUCAGGAGGGAUUGAAGUUAGGAUCGUGUCCAAGUUUGGAACAUCUUUCUCAUCAACAAACACCCCGAUUUCCUCCCACGGGAUUGCAUCAGCAAAGGGCAGAACAAUGUCGUCGGCUAUGAUCACGGGGAUACAACCAAACACCACCGCCUCGACCAAUCUUGGACUCCAUGGCGCCCAUCCGAGCGGACACAGACAGAAGACCGCUCGUUGCAUAUCUUCGUAGUAUGUGACGGGAUGAUCUGUGGAUAUGUCGAAAAGUGGAUUGUUCUUGAAGUUCUCCCACACUGCUGCACGAGCACCUCUGCAAGUUUGGAACUUUAAGUUAAUUUGACUGUAAAUAGUCAACACGAGCUACGAUUCAUUCAAUGAUGUUGUAAAGUACUUACCUUGCAUAAUAGCCGCCUUCUGGGUCAUUUCCCACAUCAUAAAACAAUCCUCUGAAGUACACAAAAAUGGAUCUUGGAACACUCUCGGGGAUUAGAUGAGAUUUCAUCUUUUGAGGAGGAGCAUAUGGAGGAACUGUGAUUGAGCCUUCUUUUAAGCAAACGUGAUUCCGCUGCCCGAAUGUUUGGACCAACGUAGCACGUUGAAGCAAAGGAAGAAUUCCUCUUUCAAUUGCCUUCUCUUCCUGAAACCGCAUCAUAUUGACAAAAUGAAACAAGAGUUAAUAAACACAGCAACACAGCGAAAAUUGCUUAGUUUACCUCUACUCCAAAGAAGAAGAAACACUCACUUGAUAAUGAAAGCAUGGUCCAAAGUCAUGGGGCACAACAAAGAAGUGAUCUGCUCCUUCAGUUCGAUUCCAAUAAGGCCAGUUGGAAGCAAUCAGCUGUAUUGCACUUCUCACGAUUCUUGGCGACUUAAAAGGCAAAGGAAGACCGUUCGGCGUUAAGUCACAAGUGGGGUAUACAGGAGUAUAGAACCAAUCAGCUUCCUCGGGAUUGAGGGUGCGAACAGGGCUCGAUAAUAGAAACCGAUGCAUAUAAAUCUCAGCCGCAAACAUGUGAUUAAGGCAUCUUUGGUCUUUCUGCAGAAGCUUCUUGUUGUAUUUGCUGGGAAGUUCAUAAACAAAAACUUUCAGCCUUCCAACAGGAUCAUCAUCCAACACAUCACCAGCACUACCUGCAAUCACCAAACAUCGCAUUUGACUAAGCAUCCAUAAAGAGCACAGAAGAAAAACCAUGGAAUUUCACCUAAACUGCUUCCUUGAUCAUCUUUAUCAGCAUAAAUCAACAAGGAAAGACGAAAACCAUGUUUUGACUCAAGUCUGCAACUACUUCAAACCGAAGUCAUAAUGAAGUCAAUUUACAGAGAAAACCCACUUGCAGAAUUUCCUAUCAGCUCAGAGUAGUAAUGCAACUCAACUUCUCCACAAUAAUCAGUCUGGCAUCUCCAGUUACAUACUGAACCUCAAGUAGUUACCAACUCACUAUUGGCAGGAAAAACAGAAUGGGAAUAAUUCAGCUACAAAGUUGAAUUAAGACGAUUCCAUUACAUCACAAUAAACUACAAAUUGUAACUAACCACAUACAUUCCUCUAUCCAAGACUAAAAAAGAAUUGCUUUGCUUUAUCUAAGAGAAAGAUAGCAUAAACGUUCAACACAGUCAGAUGGCUUGGAAACUUGGGAACCAUCCGGAAUCCCGAUUAAAUCUGUAAACGCUUCUUCAGAUCCUAGAAAGCUAUCACAAUCCCCACCAAGCCGUAAGCAACUUGAGCUACUAUCUAUCCCGAAAUUCAAUCCACACAAAUUAUCGGAGCAGCAAAAGAAUCGAACCUGAAAUCCUCUCGGUAGGCUGAGUCCUGGCGAGCUCAACAGCAGAGCCCAUCCUCGGUAGAAAAGCGGCAUGGCAGAGGAUUGCAGAGAAGACCCAGAUCCAAAUCUCCAUCUUUUUUUUUCUUUUUUCUGAGACGGGGUGUUUUCUCCCCAGAGAAGGGAGAAGAAGGAAUAGUUUUAACAAGGGGGAAGCCUUACAGUUGGAAUGUCGCAGGAGCAGGUAGGUGAAGGAGAACAACAACUGGAAGGAAAUGGAAGGGUGGGAGUUGGAGGGAGGGCUUUCGUUCUCUAUUUGCUCUGCUUUGUUUAAUCGAAAAAAGAAUCAAAAUUGAAGAACACCAGAAAUAGACUUGACGACUACUGCCAGCCGAUUUUGCUUCAAACCGCAGAGAGAGAGAGAGAAGAGAGAGAAGUUUACUGCUUGGUGGGUACGUUUGUUAGGAGAGAGGACCUGCGUAUGUCUUUCUGCAACAUAUCUUACUCGUAAGUCUAACCGUACAUGUUUAACCGUUUAAAAUCGUUAUAAACUAUACCUUAUUGUGAUCCUACCGUUACAUUAGAAUUUUACUGAACUAUUUUGAUGAAUAUUGAGCUCAAUGUAACUAAUUAAAACCUUACAAAACCAACAAAAGUAAGGGUGGACAAUGCUAAAACAUGAAAAUCCAUACCUUGAAAUUUCUUAUUCAUCAUCCUCGCCAUCACAUGGUAUUAUGUUAUUUCAAUCAUUUUCAGCUUCGAAAGUUGUGGCAUUAACUUCUUUACUCAUCUCCAAAGCAGAAGCGAGACCCACUAUAAUAAUUCAAUCAAAUCCAUUUAAUGAGUAGGCUAUUCAGCACUUUUUAAAGAAUUUAUGCUAAGAAACUAGAAGUAAAAUAAGAUAAUAAAUAACAAUUGUCAUUCUUUAUCUCGACUAGUUCAUCCAAAUCCUCUUCGUCUAAUAACUCGGAUGAAAAAAUCGACCUUAACCAAUCUCCUGAGCAAAUUAGAGCUCUACAAUUUUAGGAGUUAAAGAACUCUUGAACGAGUCCAGCACUCGACCGCCUGUGCUAAAGGUCGACUCUGAAGAUACAGUCGAUAAGGGAACUCGUAAGAUGUCUCUUACCAUCUCACGCAGCAAGGGAUGUCGAUGUCCAUUGUUCUUCCACCCAAAGUAGUGAAAUCAACGAUUUAGAUCUUAAAAUAUUACGGUUUUACGAUUUUAGUAGAAUCUAACGAUUUUGAUUCCACUCAAAAUCAGUGGUUAGUGGAAUUAAGUAAAAUCACGAUUUAAUUCUUAAAAUCUUGUGAAAUCAACAAUUUUUCAUGUAUUUUACGAUUCUACUUUCUAAGUAAAAAUUGUCCAUUUGUCAAUUUCGCUCACUCAGUUUGGCUUAGAAUAAAAAAAUCUACGUGUUAUAAGUAAUUUAUUUAUUUUAUUCGUAUAUUUUGAUUAUUUUAGUAACAAGUAAAAAUUAAAAUAAUAAAAUUAGUCUAAAAUUAAUGCAUUUUCUUUUUCAAAUUUGCUAUAAUAGAAAGUCGUGAAAUCUUACGAUUUUACGAUUCGAUUCUACAAUUAUAAUUUUAUAUCAUUUUACGAUCCCGUGUUAACUCCACAAUUUCACUACCUUGCUUCCACCAACCCAAGACAUCAUACUUACCAUCUGGAUCCUGUAGAUUGUGUGUAUCUUCACGUUCCAUUGAUAAAUAGAUAUCCAAGUCAGUUAGAAUAGCAGGUUCGGGGGGAGAGAUUUUUUUUUUUUUUAUUGGGAGAAAAAAAANNNNNNNNNNNNNNNNNNNNNNNNNNNNNNNNNNNNNNNNNNNNNNNNNNNNNNNNNNNNNNNNNNNNNNNNNNNNNNNNNNNNNNNNNNNNNNNNNNNNNNNNNNNNNNNNNNNNNNNNNNNNNNNNNNNNNNNNNNNNNNNNNNNNNNNNNNNNNNNNNNNNNNNNNNNNNNNNNNNNNNNNNNNNNNNNNNNNNNNNNNNNNNNNNNNNNNNNNNNNNNNNNNNNNNNNNNNNNACAGUUUCGAUUGGUUUAUUUUUGACAAAAAUUAUUAUUCAAAAUAGAUUUGCUUUUAUAGAAAACUUAUACGGAUUGUUUGGGUUGGUGAUUUGAGUCUCAACAGAGAUUUCGUCUCAAAUUACCUGUUUGAAUACUAAAAAAAAAGAGAUUUUGGGAGAUUUGAAAUCAUAUUAUGGGUCCGAAAAAAAUCUCAUAAUUUAUAUCAUCCGGGGGUGGAACUUUCAAAAGUAAAAUGAAAGAUUUAAAAAUAUUAACCAAAAUUAUCUUUUAUUUUCUUUUGAUAAUUAAUAUGAUCAUAAAUAAAUUCGAAAGAUUUUUAAAUUUUUUAUUUUUUAUUUCUCUUUUAUUUUUUCCUCUCUAUAAUAAUCAGAUUUAAAAUUCCUAAAACCAACCAUCCAAAUGAUUUUUCUAAAAAUCAGGCAUAUGGCGCGGCAUGGCGCAAACUGCCUUCGUUUCCAAUCCACAAGACCUGAACAAGUUCAUUGCAUGGAGUCAACAUCAUGCAUGACUUGCUGUUUCUCGCCAAACUGUACUGUAUAACUUAUUGCCUGUAUAUGUAAGAAAACUACUUGAUCCGUGUUUAAACAGCAACAAAUAUUUCAGCUGCUUACUGGCUUGGAAGUCCAUCUAUUGAAAAUUUCGGCAUCUGACAGAAGUUCAAUUUUCUGGUAAAUAGCGAUGUCAGAAGGAAAACACCUUUCAGCUGAACAAGAACUUCUGGUAGCACCAUAGUGAUCUCCAAAGCGGAAUGCCGCAAUAAAAAUGCUAACAUGCAUCUGGGAAAGAUACUUAGGUUUUGAUCCACUGCUGAUGCUCAAGGUAUUAGCUGAUAAUGAUGAUGUGAGAUCCAAGUUAAACGAGCUCUUUAUGAGCUCAAUGCAUCCAUCGACUGCAAGGAUUCCUCCUCAGCCGGCCUUCUCUUUAUCAUGAACUGAUGAAUGAUUGAAUGGCAAUGGUUGACAACUACUCGAGCCAAAACUUCCACCGAAGUUAAUUCAUUACCAAUAAUCUCCACAAGAACACGAUCCCCCUUCAAACCUGUGAAACCGGAUCCGAUCUCUAACAAGAAUCACUCGGUUCAACGUCAUCGAAACUAAUCUAAACCAACUGUGGCAGUCGUCACAGAUUCGAAGAUUCUUCGAGAUUCUGAUUUCUGUUCCGGGAGCAGUCUUCAGAAUCCCGUACGCCAACGCCAACUUUUCACUGUGAUGAUGAAGAUUCUCCUCCUUCUCCUCUUCCGACACAUCCAUCAUGACCAACUCAGUCUUGGGGACAAACCCAAACAACUUCGCCUUUUCAAUCAGUCCUCUGAGAACUUUGUACACCGCAGCUAUCUCAGGAUGGGAUCUAUCACCAGACUUGAAAUGGUGAAAGCCCCCACCCAAUUCAAACCAACUAAUUCCCUUCUUCUUACUCACCCCAUGCUUCUUCAUCAUCUCCCUAACUCUCUGCGCACUGUCCCAUUUCAGUUGGGAGCAGUAUAUGUUUGAAAGCAAUACAUAAUCGCCACUUUUCAGACGCGAUAUAUUAGCAAUGGCAAGCUCACCGAUUUCGGGGGCUUUGUGCAUUCUAGAAGCACUAAGAAGGGCCCUCCAUAUAACAACAUCCGGCUCAAUCGGCAUUGACAUGAUCACAUCAUGAGCUUCCUGUAAAAAUCCAGCUCGACCCAAGAGAUCAACCAGGGCUCCAUAAUGCUCGCGCUGUGGUUCAACCGAAUACCGAGUUUUCAUCAAACCGAAGUAAUGCCUACCUUCUUUCACCAAACCGGAAUGACUACACGCAGUGAGAAGUCCUAGAAAUGUUAUACUAUCCGGAGAAACAUCUUCAGACUCCAUCUUUGAAAACAAAGCAAUUGCAUCCAAGGCAAAGCCAUGAAUUGCAAAGCCAUUGAUCAUCGAGUUCCAAAUCGAAGCAUCAUCCCGCCGAACCCUCUCGAAUAUACUUUUAGCAGCAUCGAUUCCGCCGCAUUUUGAAUACAUGUCUAUCAUAGCUGCAACUAGAAUGGAAUUCACUUCAACUCUCUUCUCAACCAUCACCUGAUGCAGCCACUGAGCCUGGGGGAGACUUCCAAGCUUUGCACAGGCAGGCAUCACGGAUGCAAAUGUGAACUUAUCCGGAUUGACAUUCGAACUAAGCAUCAAUUUGAAAAGCCUGACGGCCUCCUCAAAUCGACCGUUUUUAACAUAACCUCCAAUCAUCGAGUUCCAAGUCACCACAUCUCGGCCAGGCAUAUUAUCGAACACCUUCCGUGCCAAAUCUGAAUCUCUGGAUGUCAUGAAACUAUGCAGCGUCUUAUUCAAAACAACCAGAUCAAAAUCCCAACUAAAGACCUGGCGAACGACUUUGUAAGCGAAAUUGAGUCGGUCGCAGUGAGCGUAAACUGAUAUAAGCGAAGCCAGUAGAGAAGGGUGGGUUCCGUACCCAAAUCUUAUGACUCUGGUGUGUGUUUCAGCUGCGGUUCUGAUAUCUGAGGAGAGUUUGCAGGCUUCCAGGAGAUGACAGAAUACUUGAUAAUCUGAGUGCGCCAUUGAAAGUACGCGUUAGGAGAGACCAAAAGUUUAAAUUUUUUUGAACAGAUCAGAACAUAGAGAAAUGACAGGCAUGGAAACCUUGGUUGAGUUCAUGGAAGUGUUGAAGCGAAGAGGCGGAAUAGAAACGGGGAGUUCUCUCGAUGCCCAACUGAAUAUAGAAGCCGAUUCUCCAGGCUCCAUGGCUCUGCAUGUUAAAGGAACUUGCCGCCGUCGCCGUCGCCGCCAGCCGCCGCCUCGAGAUAUGGGGAUGAACGGAAAUUUAUCAGCUUGGUUAGAACUAUAAGUAACUUUUUGUCUUUUCUUUUUAGUUUUGAGUUCGUCACAAGGAAAUGAAGAAUUUGUCAACUAAUCAGAAGUAGAGAAACCGAGCAGGAUUUGGCAACCCAGACGAUUAAUCGGUUGGGUUGACGACUUAUCAGUUAUCACACUGUUUUGGGAUGAUGCAAAUUCCAUUUAUGAGAAGAGGGUUUUGCCUUCCGCCUGGAUUGGUAUCCAUUGCAAACAUGCAACUUGAGAUCUUAAUUAUAACCCACACGUAUAUAAGUUGUUAUAAGAUCAUUUUCUACGAAGGUGCCAUCACAUAAAAAUUCUGAUUGGAGAGGAUGAUGAGGUCGGUUAGGUUGGAAUUUGAGUCGUUAAUGUUUGAGUAGAAAAAAGUUGAGAGCAUCACUCAUACACCCUACACUCUAAUUGGCCUUCAAAAAACGUUAAAUAAUACCUAAAAUUAAGUCAAAAAAAACUUGAUAUAUAACAAUAAUGUGAUUAAUAUGAGAGGUUAGGAGAAUUUGGGUUUCAUCCUUCGACGUCGACCCCUUUGUAGAAUUCAACAAUCCUCUUGUUGAGAGGUUCGUGGUAACGCUGCUGAUUUGCUACCCUAUUUGAUUCAUCUUUUUUCUUCGGCUUUUUUUUGUUUGUGCAAGAGGGGGCUAGGGUUUUUUGAAACAAAAUACAACAAAGGUUCCUUGAAACAACAGAUGGUUAGGGCUUUUGGUUCUUUCUCUCGGCUACAAAUCGACGAUGGCGAUGUUUCACCUAGACGAGAGGAUGAUGAUGUGGAAUGAGAAACGGACGCACUGUGGAUGGUCGAAGAAGACUAAGUGGCAGCGUUCGAGGUAUCUAGGAACACCCAAAAAACUUGGCAUCGGCAAGCUUGAACACCAGGUCCUGCUAGGAGAAGUAAUACAACGACAGAGACUUGCUCGGAGACUUAACCCCUCCAGGCGUUUGAAGUUUUGCGUGUCCCCAGUUCGGGCUCCAAUAGCUGUUUCUUGCUUUCUUUAUAUUCCAGUUAUUUCUUUUCGGUUGAACUUAUUGAGAAUUUUAUGUCGGGUAGUUCUUAGUGUAUGGAAUGUAAGUCUCCGUUCAAGAAAUUUUUUAUUUUGGAUGACUAGUACCACGAAUGGGUUCGCUUUUGCUAACCUUUUAUGUUGUCGUGCUUUACCCAUUACGAAUGAUAAUCCUCCUAAGGUUCAUUUUAUAAGAUGAACAUUUUCAGUCAAAAGUUAUUAAUAAUAUAAGUAUCCUUUUUGAAAAAAAAAUGUGACUAAUUAGAUUUCAUCUCCCUCAACACCUACUAUGCAUGAGCAGAAGAAAAAUAACAAGUUGGGCACUAUAUUUCAAAGGUAGACUCUCCUGAGGCCAUCGCCAUCAAUAUGAAUAGAGAGAUUUGUAAAAUAAGGUGACAUGCCCAAGUCUCCACUUCACCACCAUAGCCCAUGCCGCUCUCGUUGGGCCAGCUCAUAGUCUAAGUUAGGCCGCCCAAAUAGUUACUACUUGACGGUGCUUGUUGGUUGGCCCAUUCAGGCCCAAUGAGAGACUGAAAGUUCGCGGAGGAAUUAAUCAAACUAAGCCUGAUAUUUCCGCCCCUUGUUGUUUGGCCCAUUCAAUUCAGGCCUAAUGAGAGUGAAAGUUUGCGGAGGAAUUAAUCGAGCUCAGCUGAUAUUUCCGUCCUUUGUUCGUUUGGCCCUGCCGCGCAUCACAAAUUCACAAUCAAUUCAUUCGUUCAUUCCUCCGGAAACUUCACCCACCUAAACCUACCGUAACACCGUCGCCGGAAGAAUCUUCUUCUCAGCCUCAGGUAAGCAAAGCCCCCCUGUCCAUGCUUAUCUAGGAAUUUUUUCACCUUUCCCUGCUUUUUCGUUUUGUUGCUUGUUUCGACUCUUACGAAAAAAGAAUCACCAUAUAAUCGGCGGCGUAAUCGAUCGGAUCCAAUCAUAAUUGCCUACGUUUCUGUGGAUGAUAAAUUAGGUAUAGGGUUUCUAGGGAAAGACAGAAUGGAAAGGCAGAAGCUUGUAGGUAGGUUGAUCUCUUUGUUAUAAGUAUGAGCUUGUAGAUGGAUUCUUGAUUUAUGUCUUAUUUUACCUCUUGCUGUCUGGAGACCAUAUGGCUGCGGAGAUAGUGCUUUCCUUUUUGUGGCGUUUAAGGUGGUCUUACUUUUCCAGCUGAUAGUUGUAUUCAUUAGAAUAUAACUAGUUUCAAAGAUCCGUCCGUAUGGCAUCCAUUGGAAUGUUAUUAUUAUGGCUUAUCUUGUUGGUUUGAAUUGUUGUUUGUUUCGAUUUGUUUUAUUAUAAGAAAUUACUCUUCUUGAUAUCAUACAUCUGGAUUCAAGAGGCCAGUGGCUUUAACUUUGAUCCUAAUGGCUUGCUUAUUAUGUCAUUGUGUUGUUAUGUUGUUGCAGGUUUCUGAAAUUCUGAUAUUGCAUUCUAACCACUACCGCCUUCUGAUCCUCAUAUACCAUGGUAUGACUCCUUUACACAUCCUGAGAGAUAACAUACAUGUUGUAAUAUCAACUGGCUUGUUUUCUGUUUUGUCAAGUUUCUAGAUACAAUGAAUGGCAUGGUGAAUGGAGAUGCUCCUGACUCUAGUUUUGAGUUCCAAUUAAAUAGAUGAUGGUUAUCAAAGCCUCCUUAAGUAUUUUAGGUUUCUCUUGAAAACUUGAAGCAGUAACGUAAUUUUAGUACAGUGCGUCUGAAGCAGCUAGUUAUGAUGGGCUAGUAUCAUAAGAAUUGCUUUCCUGUGUUUAUCUUCAGAAGUGUUAGACAUUGCAUUUAGAGUUUUGUUGUUUCCUUGUCAUGAUGUGUGCAUUAUUAUUAUACAUGGAGAGCUUUGAAAAUUUUGUUAUGAAGAACUGUUUGUGUUUUUACUGUUUCCUUAAGAUUUUAUUCGUGUAUUUGUACAUUUGAAGUGUUUGUACUGUUCCCUUCAGAUUUUAUUCGUGUAUUUGUACAUUUGAAGUGUUUAUCUGCUUGGACUUUUGGAUGAAACUAGCAGCGAUAUCUGUUAGAGUAAUGAACUAGAAUAGAUAUUGCUAUUUGGUUUCUAAGUUUCAAGUUUGAUGUGAUUCAUAGUUGUACUGGAGAUGAGCCCCUGGAUUAAUGAAUUUGUUUGCUGUAUUUAAUAUGCUUGAUAUCAGGCUGGCAGACUUAUUGCAAACUUGAUUGUGGUGGGCGGCGGAGUGUUAGUGAGGGCUGUUGCCCAGGCAUAUCGUCAAGCACUUCAAAGUACGGUUAGCUUCUUUUUCUUUAAUUUUGUUGUGCUCUCUUAUCUAUCUUUGCUGGUUUAAGGUUGCGAACUUUGCGAUAAAAAUUAUAGAUGCAUCAAAGAAUGGGGUUGCACAAGAAGCAAUGCAGAACGUGAAGAGAGUAAGUAAGGGGAUGAGCGAGUCGGAAGCGAGGCAGAUUCUAGGAGUUUCUGAGAAUGCAUCUUGGGAGGAGGUUUUGAAGGUAUCAAAGUCGGUGCCCUGGAAAUAUGCGAGAUGAUGCUGUUGGGUAUAAAAUUGUGCGGACUACCUGAACAUUUUGUUGAAAUAACCUUGCAGAAAUACGAUGCGUUGUUUGAGAACAACGCGAAGAACGGCAGCUUCUACCUCCAGUCGAAGGUCUUCAGAGCUAAAGAAUGCCUAGAAAGCGCAGGCAAGAAGGAUGGCGGUGGUGAAUGAAUGAAUGUGCGUUUGGAAAUUUUACUCGUCUUCUGAACUGCAGUAGUUGCACAUAAAAUAGAAAGACGCGUGAAGCUAUAAAAAGGUUUUUACAGACCAAGACCAACUGUAACUCAAGGUCUGGGGAGUUGGAAUAUUUGUAUGAGAAAAUGAGUUAUGUAUGGAUCAUACUAUGUGUCCUGUGACAGUCACUGUUUCGUCUCUUCUUUAUGCAAUGUUUCUUCUUUAUGCAAUGUUUUUCAAAACCGUACCGGGGAUUAUACCGGAAAGGUUGGUAGUAGAAAGUUUAAUGGUUCAACCCAAAUGUACUAGUAAGUAAAAUAAUCUAUCUCAAAUAAAUAUUUAUUAAUAGUGUAAUAUCAACUAAUUAAAAAAUAAAUAUUCAACCUGUUUGAUGGACCAAACUGGUCAGUUGAUUGGUAUAUAUUUCAACUGGCUAAGUUAUUUGUCUCGAAAUGUUUGUCUAUCUCUUAUGAAGCCAAGAGUUGAACAGUUUUGUAUGUUUGAAAUGCUCAACGUACUUGCGACUCCAAUACAGCCAUGUUAUAUUAACACCCAUAAAUUUUGAUCAAAAUGAUUUUGGUACAGGCAUCAGAAAAACAAAACUCAGAAAACAAUCAAAUAAAUUACAUAUAGUUCUGUCCCGCCGCCACCGAAUGAUGUUUGGUCAAAUUCUUCUGGUCUAGUCGUGCUUUCCAAGCUGGUCCAAGCUGGCAACUGGAUUUUGAAAAGAGGAAAGAAGAAAAACAAGAAAAGAGUCCUGAUUCCAUCUUCACCCUCGAGCAUUAAAGGAGUGAUGAUCAAAUGGAUUCCACAUUUGCAAUAACAACUCAGCUGUUGGUUUCUGUGUGUAGGAUACCAGAGAUCAUGACUAUGGCUUCAGCUUUCUGGACCGCACAUAGGAUAGAAAUUGCGUCGGUAAUUCGGCUAGAAGUUCUUGCACAACAGACAUCUCUCCAUCUGCAUCACAGGAUGCUUCAUUAAUUUACUCAGACAACUGCUAUACAUUCAACAAAAAAGGGAAGUUAGUUUCUAAUCAGGUUUCAAGGAUGGAAGAUGUUCUUACUUUGUACGUCUCGCAUUGGUACGAACUGAACUAUAUCACGUGUAGCAACUCGACUAGUUGAGCUUUCAAGUCUUUCUCCUUUAUCACCAUCUAAAAUCUGAGCACACGAAAGCCGAACAGUAAUAAGAACUGAGAGUCCCUCACACAUGAUGGCUAGUGGUCCAAUUGUGAAAACUACGAACCUCCAUUUCUCUGAAGUCGGCUCCUCCAACACCUACAAUAAGGAUGGAAAGGGGAAGGUCCGAAGCUUGGACUAUGGCGUCUUUGGUUUCUUGAAGAUCUGUUACAACCCCAUCCUACCACAACAUCACACAAGUUCAGAUUAAUAAUAUUAUCAGUAUCUGGCUUCAUCAUCAUCCAGAUGUUUUAUGAUUCAUUCCUCACCGUUAUGAUCAACAAAACGAAGUACUUUCUCUCUCCAUUUUCGAGAGAUUUUUUUGCAAUGCUUGCGGCCUUAGUGAUUACGUGUCCGAAAAGUGUUGGCCCUGCAAGGGAAACAUUGUAGAGGGCAUUUGAAUAAGCCAUCAGAAUUCCAUGGAGCCCUUCCACCUGAGAACAAUAAAACUUGCCAUGCUUAACAAUUAUAACACAAACGGUAAAGUGAAAAUAUUAUUACAAAAAGGAGAAAAGGGAAAACGGACCUCAUGGUUGUAAUUACUUCCAUUCAAGUUGAAGCAAUGAGAGACAGGACCGUCAAUGGGCCGUGCUCCAAAUCCCCAUGCAGGAAAUCGUUGAUCUGAAUCGUAAAACUUCAACACCUCUCCAACCUCCAAGAUUGCCUGAAAUUGUUUGGCAGCUGUGGUGAUGUAGAUGACCAAUCAAGAGAAUACGGGAAGGGUUAAAUCAAAUAUGUAUUAAUAAGAUGCUGCUCGUACUCUCUGAUAUGCAUUUGGCCGAGUAGACAGAUCCAUAUUGUGGGAGGGAUCAAUAUAGUGCAAUGAAUCAGGGAGGCGAGGGUUUCCGUUUGAAGCUUACAAAUGAGAAGAACACACAGAAUCAGAACAUUUCACACCACCAACCAUACCAUCUAAAAUUACAGACCAUACAUUAUAGUCAAUAAGCAGGUACCUGUGAAGUCAACAGCCACCAUGAAGUUCAGUUCAAAUCCCCCUUUCAGGUAAUCUAGGAAGGUAUGUUGCGUACUUUCUGAAUAUUUGUCCACGAAAAGCUGGCUUUUUAAGACCUACAUUCAGAAAGCAAAGCAUUCAAAAAAUGCAAAAUAGAGUGAAGUUUAUUAAUCCUAAAAACAAUGGAUUUAUAAACAAAGAUGGUGUUUUGGAGUCGCUCCAUGUUAUAAGUACCUUACUACUUUGAUUAUGCCCAACUGCUGGCAAUACCAAAUUAAUUCCUUGAUUGAUAGAACAACGGUUUUCAAACUCUGCGAGUGGAUUUUGAGUUUGUCUGGCAAACAACCAAUGAAAAGGUUACUGUAAGUAUUUAUGCAUAUAAAGCUACAAAUUAGAUUUCAAAAGAAAGAAGCAAAGAUCUACUUGCCCAAUCAAAUCGUGUUUUCCAUUAUUAUUGAAGUUAAAGCAUUGUACGAGCAAUGGACUGUCCUGCAGGUUUUACGAUAAAAUAAUGGUGAGAAUACUAUUCCAAUAAGCAGUGGAUAUUGGUGAAUUUACAGUUAUCCCAACUUAGAUCUAAGUACAAGUUUCAAAUGCUAAAAAGAAAAACAGUUCCUCACUCUCACAAGCAAUGCCAGCAUUUUUAUCCGCAAAAACUUCUAGAAUUCCCCCCUACCGUGUGAUAAUUAAUUAUUUACAAAUAUAAACUUCUAGAAUUACACACAAAUGCUGAAAUGCAACAGAAGUACGAAAUUAACAAAAAGAAACAGAUGCAGCAGUGCCUUGCAAAAUUCACCAUGGUUCAUUGCAUCAAGCAAUCAAAAGUUCUACACCUCUUGAAAACUAGAUCAGGGAAAUGAAGCACUCAAUCUUAUGCUGCUUUGUAAUUGUAACUAUUUAAAAAUUAAAAUAGGCCACCACAAAAGCAACCGAGUACACACCUUGCUUCCAACUUGUUGAAUGUUCAAGCUAAUUGGUUUCCAUGUAGGGUUUUGAUUAUUCUUUAUGACCUCUGUUUUACAAACGGGAAUUGCUUUCCCACCCUCAACGACUCUUGAUAGUAACAGAAAAGGAUCCUGCAAUUGAUCCUAUGGUUUAGUAUAUCGUUAAUGUUCAAAAAUAUCAGAUAAAACAAUGAAAGAUGACUCAGUAGCCCAUACACUCUUUGAGAACAAAUCCUUGUUUUCCAAAUCUGAACACCUUAACGUCAUCUCUGUAGAAGUCUUUGAGUUAAUGCAUUCCUCCGCAUGCACAAUGAGCUGUCCAAGGCUUUUAGGAUGGCUUGGAUCUUCUAUUUGCAUAAGAUUUAAGAUCAAGUUCCUGUCCGGCUUGGUCACUAUCUAGAAGGACGACAAGAUAACGAGAAUAGUUUAAUUCUCACUGUGUCUUACUAAAUGCACUAGUUUAAGGCACCACUUAAUCUGGCUUUCAAGUUUCAUCUAUUAUUUCAAAAGUAGAAUAAAUAUAUAUAUCAGUUAUCAGCAAAUUUCUGUAAAACAGGACAAGUUAGCUACCUACAGUGGCCUUUAUGUUUAUUUAGAAAUGACAUAAUAUAUAUGAAAGAAGAUGAAAUGAAGAGAGCAGGAACUGAGGACUGGCUCUUAUAUUGUACCUGAGACAAUAUGGUGGAAGCUUCACCAAGAAAUUGCUGCUCCUCUAGCUUAAGCAUCUGCAAUGUUUGAUAAAAUUCCGUAUAAUGUGUUAUGGUUCUAGCUUCUAGUCUUGUCUAUGAGGCUCUCUAGUGCAACGUACAAUAGUAACCAUAUUUUAUGCUGUGAUGCGAGAGAAAAAGUUCUACAACAACUUGAAAGGUAAAUUGAAGCACUUUCUUAAGCAAAUAACUUUACUGGCUCUUCAUCACAAAGUAUAAUAGCCAGAUGAACUCAGUCUUUGAACGUGGUAUCAAAACAUGUGUUGAUAUGGACUGAACGAGAGAAAGUUACAAGUUUCAGCUUCCAAGAACAGAACAGAUACGGCUUUAAAAGUUUCAGCUUCCAAGAACAGAGCAGAUACGGCUUCAAAAUUAUACCUUCACAUCAACAUUGUGAAACUGAGUGUCUAUGUCAUACACAUGAAACCUGCAGUACAUUGUACACAUUAAUGUGUUAAUGUCAACUACCCAAGCAAAAGGAAUCUUUCAGUUACCAAUAACAUGAUGUAUAUUGUCAGGAUUGAAGAGACAAGUUGAACUUACACCAAAUUUUGAACAAUUUCAAACUGAUAUGUGACCGUACAUUUUGCAAUCCAAGAUGGAUUCAAUGAAUUAAGAACGACCUCGGUGCGGAAAACUUCAGUGAGGGCUCCAUCUCUUCCUUUUGUAUAAACAACCACCAUUGGGUCACUCUGAAGGAAGAAAACUUCUAGGUUAAGAAACUGAAGAUACAAAUCAGAUACAAGAAUCAAGGAAACUGCAGAAUUGCCCGCAACAAAUAUUAAGGAUAUGCCUUCUAUGAUGCAUCUGACAUGGUAAUUCCAUCGUCAUUGCAUAAACUUCACAAUCAGAAGUGCUAUACUAAACUAUCUCAUCUGUCUCUUUGGUCUCAAUGAAAUACCAAAAUGAAGCAAAAGCAUGAUAUUGUGUUGGAUAAGAAGAGUAGUCCUUCUUGGCCACAUUGUAGCCAUCCUUGUUGUCAAAAUUCUAAGGUACAAAUGUACGAUACUGACAAAUGAAACAUUAUUAUUGAGUUUAAAGCAAAUAAACCUAGCAUACAAUUCAGAGUUUCAAUUCGAUCUAUGAUUCCACAAACAUAACAUACUGGACAUACGAAAAUCAACGAUUGAAAAGUGCCCCGGGUUGACUGACCUUUGAAAUCAUAUCCCGAUCCCGCAAGUUCGUUGCGGAGAAAGAUAACUGCAAAAAAUAAGUAGCAACAAUGAUCAAAGUUGGUGUUAAUGACGGAGUACUAAAGUUACAGAUAAUUAGCUUGUCAUUCGUUCUUAAGGUCCCAAAAAAAGAAGCACAGAUAUAUAGAGCAAACUGCUUCAAGGAUUCAACGAGCUACGUUCUGAAGCAAACUUCACAUCUAACUAGAAAGGAAAGAGGAAACGAGUAGAAGAAAGUGGCUAAGGACCUCGAUCUGAGAGAAGAGUCCGUGGAAGCCUCGAUACCUGAGGAAUUCAUCGACCGCAUCAUUAGCACCGGCGCCGGCAGACGAAGCACCAGUGCCGCCAACUGCCGAUCUGCCUUCGACCUCAUCGGAGAAGCAGUUCCCCAUUCGUUACAAGUUCGUCGUUCUUCUGCUAAGCAAAACUAUCCAGGCCAAGAUCCUUAGCCAGCUGGAAACUGAGAAACGGACAACAAAUGGCGGAGUUCAGUUCGGGGAAGACGCAGAGAGGGAGAGAGAGAGCAUCCAAGGGCCAAUCGUGCGACGAGAGGAGCAGGUUAAACAGUGGGUGCCUACCUCUUCCAAUACCGAGCUUCAGUUUUUCUCUUUACUUUUGUUUUUUCAACGUUGCUUCGAAGACUAAAGUUGAACAAGUGGGCCCUUUUCUUUUUACAUUUUCCUUUUUGCAAAAUGGCUGGCCGCCGGCAGCGGAUGUCACCGUGUAGAAUUUUUUACUUUUUGCCGUUUUUACCGGAUCACAUUUUGCGGGAGCCGGGAAGGCUUCGAUUCAUGUGCUAAACCAACGGUUUCAAAUGGUAUGUACCGGCCGGUUGAACUAUAUACCGGUCAAUUAGCCGUUUUAAUGCAUUCGGGUUUGGUGGAAAUUGUAUUUUACCUUAUUUUAGCCGCUAAACUUGAUUGGUGAAAAAUAUGUGACAUGGAUUGAUAAUAUUAGUAGUGAAUUAAAGUAGGUGAAGAGUUAAAUUAUUUUGUGUUGUUGGUGUAAUUUGACUUUAACAAAAAAAAUUAUCCGAUAUAAUAUUUUACUAUAAAUAUAUAUUUAUUUUUAUUUGAUAUUACAUACAAUUCAACCAAUAUAACAUCAUAGUUGAAGAAUUAAACCUCAUAUCACUAAUUUUUUUGAAAUGGUGCCUAGUAUCGUUUUGAAAACAUUAGUUUCAACUAGUGCAUAAAACUUUGGUAGCCACCCUCGCACCCAUAAAUUGUUGAGUCAAAAUGUAUGGAAGGGAUGUUAAAUAAUAAGGGUUAUUAUUUGAUGAAACGACGCUCUAAAAUUUGUAAAUACAAUAUUAUUCUUGGUCGAUCGAGCCUAGGUUUUGAAUAAAACGACGUUUUAGACUUCGUAAAUACGAUAUUAUCCUUGGUCGGUUGAGCCCCUAUGCUAGCCAAAAUAGACUUCUGGUCUGGCCAGUCUAGUUCUUGACCGAUGGAUUUACAAGAUCAGCAAACCAGUUGAAGCAGUGAUAUGAUUGUACCGACUGGAUAACAUGAAACACUGAUUCGUUGUUCAAUUACUAUUUCAUUGUUUCAAAAAUUAAAUAAAUAUUGCUACCAAUGUGUAUUGAACCCACUUUAUGCAAAGCAAUAAUUAGAAGAUCAAAACAAUUUGACUAGCAUUAAUUUAUGAUAAAUAGUUGCAGUUAAUAAAUAGUUGCAAAAUUUAUUUACCACUUUUUAAUUGUAUUUUUUUAACAAUAAAUUUUGAUAUAACAUUCGUAUAUAAUUUAAUAUAUUACUUGUUUUCAUUUGUAUAAAAUUACGGCCGCACGCAAUAAUUAAGAUUCACAAGAACAGGAGAUCAAGCGGGGCCUAGUUGCAAAUCAUCGAGUUCAGACCGACCAAAAGGACGUCGAAGUGAAUAAAGAUACGUUAAUGGUUGUAGAAGGCUCGCGAAAAUUUUGAAUUGACGUGUAAACAAAAACGACAAUCGUACAACGAAAGGGUGCCCUAAACCCCAAACUAUAACCCUAGAAACCUAAAACACUAAAACCUAAACUCUAAAUCCUUAACCGUAGAACCCUAAAUCCUAAACCUUUAACCUUAAAACCCUUAAGCUUAGAACCCUAAAUCCUAAACCCUUAACCUUGGAACCCUAAACCCUUAAUCCUAAACCCUAAACCCUUAACCCUAAAACCCUUAACUCUAAACCCUAAAAUCCUCAACCCAUAACCCUUAACCUUAAAGCCUUAAACCCUAAACCCUAAACUCCAAACCUUAAAAUGGAAAUACAUCCCACGCGGAUUGCAUGGUUUUCUCAACGACGUGUUUGACGUUACCGAAUGGUCAUUGUUGGUUUAGUUGCAUUUCCUAUUUAGUCCACAACUGUGACCAAGAUCGGCAUUUGGAGAUGAGCACAGUUUAUGAACCACGUGACGGUUUACUAGGCAACUCGAUAUCAGUUCGUGUAUGACACACAAAGUUGGUCGACGUCCUCGAAAGAUUUAGUCCACUACGUUUAACCAAAUAAAACAAUAAUUAAUUACACAUUAAUGUUGUAGUGUAGUUUAUUUCGAUUAAAAUUUUCAUUAUACUAAACAAAGUUCACUUACUACACAAUUUUCUAAAAAAUCAAUUAUUAAUAAUCACAUUAUCAUAAUCUAAACUUAUAAAAGGAUUACUAAAUUAAUUACUAACUAAUCAAAUUAUGAAUUCAUUAAUUAUAUUUAGUAAUAGAUUGUCUAUAAUAAUUCAAUUAAUCAUUAAUAAUUAUACUAAUUAAUUAGCUAAAUUAAAUAAUUAAAAUUAAAAAAGGGAUAUGGGUUGGUUGGCCGCCGGUUUCGGCUAGGCGGGUUUCCGGCCGAAACCGACGGCUGGCCAGCCGAUAUCCCCCUUUUCUCAAUUUCGUACAUGAACAGAAGCUCCAGAUCUUCGAUUUGUCCUUCGGAUCUUCAUUUGAGAGUGUUUGAGUUAAUUGAUAUACACAAUUUCUCAUAUGGAUUUCGAUUUUACGAAAGGACACUAACGUAAUUUACUCUAUUUAGGGCGUUAUUUAAUUCAAAAGUUAGAGCGUCGUUUAGAGAUUCGAUAAAUAAUUUGCAAUUUGAUUGGAUUGGAGCAAAAGGUAGGUUUAAAGAGAUAUUGAAGGAGAAAAGUGUAGAAUUAGAAAGAUGAAGAAAAGUUGAAUAGACUCAAGAGUGAUUAGAUUGGGUCAAAUACGUCAAUGGUCACCAAAAGUUUCGAGUUUAUGACAAUAGAGUCACUCAUCUUUUAAAUCCAAUGUUGCACUCACCAUAGUAAUGAAGUAUGUAACGCACUAACGCAGCAAUACUUCUUUCUAUUCUUUACAUACUACUUUCAGCAAAAACGUUAGGCAGGCACCAGUCUUGUAGUCUCCAGCCAUGACAACAAAGCUCAUAUAUACAGACACGAUAGCUCGAUAACUCGUACAAUGUCUGACUGGUAUGUACAAAAUUAGUCGCUAGGAGGAGAACUUAAGCAAACCGCGCCAAAAUGUUCAUUCAUCUCAGAUUACGAUGGGUGGUAUUGCUGAUACGACACUGAAGAAAUGUGAGAGUUCUCCCCAGACUGUGUCGCAGCGAUUAGUGUCUGAGCUACUACGCCCUGCUGAUGGGGUUGAGUAUACUGAAUAUAUUGCUGCUGCUCAAGGGUGUUCCCUUGCUGCAACCCAUACACAUUGUUUCCUUGUGAUUGCUGAUACCCAUAGUUGUCUUGAUUGCUCCACUCGUAGUGUUGUUGGUAAUUGGGGAUAGUCUCCGCUACAGUUCCAGCUCCAUUACUAUGAAACGGCAAAAAAGACGCCAACAAACAAGGCAGCUUUUCAGUCUCCAGUAACAGUCUAACCAGAAUUUUCUAGGUCAACCAUAAACCGUUAAGAGGGCGAAUUUACCGAUAGUAAGGAUCCACAGGAGCCUCUGGCUGUUGGAUAACAGCAGAAUCAGGGUAACCUUGUUGCCCUUGUGGAUAAUUGUACUGGGUCAAUGAAGAUGGAUAAAAGUGUCGUUGAGAAGAAGCCUCGUGUGGUUGUUGGACUCUAUGCUCAAUAGUUUCAGUAUUAAUGGCAGGCUGCACAUAACCAUGCUGAAUAGUAGCACCGGAAGGAUUAUAUGGGUAAGGCAAAGUAGGAGCUGGUUGACCGUGCUGAUCUACUGAUUGGUGAGUAUAAUAUCCAUAUUGCUGGCCUUCAUCCAUCUGAACAGAAUACUGAGCAUCUGAGACAGCUGGGAUGUGAGUGUGACUAAAUUGGAACCUUUGAUCGUGCGUGUUUGAAAAAUGAGCAGAAACCCCAUUCUCCGUGGUUCUAUAGUAAUCAUGCUGUGGUUGCAUAUUAUUUUGCACUGAGAAAGGAGCAUCUGAUACUACUGCGCCAUUGCCGAGAUGAUUCCUAGUUUCAUGGGAGUGGAAAGGAGGCGGGCAUUGUUGUUUCUGGUACUGGCCCUCGGCAGGUGUAGUGGACAUUGCUAAUGGCAUAGAUUUGUGGGCCAAUGUAGAAGGCACGGAUAAUGAUCUCGCUCCAAAUGGUCGAAAUGCAGAUAAAAGGCCUUGUACCUGCAUAAUGACAUCAACAACUUACUCCUCGGAACAAAUUAAGAUUCUUGAUUGUAGAGUAGAAAUUGCAUAUAUAAGUACCAAGAUUUCAUUAGAGUUUUCUAAAAUGUUGGAAGAUUGAUGCGUCAUAACCAACUUACUUGUGUGUGACUUAGCUCUUGAGAAAAUUUUCCCUUCUGGUAGUUAUCCUGGAUUAUUUGUUUGAGUAAACUCUCAUGCAAAGGCAGACAAUCUCUGUCGAUACGGAAACCGACCUAGACAGAGACAUGAAAGAAAAAACCACAAUGAAGAGAAAUUAAGGUUAUUUCCCAACUCAGAAGGAAAAAGCAGGAUCUGAUCAAGUACAUACAUCAACUUUACAGAGAUAACUGUACAAUAUUGGGAAUCCGAGUACAAAAGGAAACUCAUUCUCAAGAAUGUCAUAAAAAAGCUGAAAUAUUACACCAUAUGUUAAUUAGUUUAGGACCUUUUUUGCAAUCUGGGGGUGGGGAGUAUUUCUUUAUAUUUCCUUGUUAAUACUAGUUUUAAUGUGUCUUAGUAGCAGGAGUGGUGUGGCGGCUCUCCUCCCCCCUAUCUAUCAAAAUCUCUAUUUCUCCAUCGUUGUUUCGGAAUGCCAGCAAUAACAAUCUCAUCUUGAUACAAUCACCGCAACUCUACCUCAUAUCAGGUUGGCACAAAGCCCCCCUCUCUCUCUCAAUUGGAGAGUAAGGAGAUGCUAACCCGCUGGAACACAAAGGAAUAAUUUAUUUCCACUGAAUCACAAGUGCAGCCUAACGUUUAUCAGCCUUAGGACUGUCUGAGUAGCAAUGCAAGUGGAUGGUCGACAAACAGAUAUUUUUAACCUACUGUGAGCUCCUGAAACGAGCUUGAUCAACAUAAAGAAUGGUUGACAACUCACCUGUGCAGGAAAAUUCCCAGAAAAUGCAGCAGGUUCCAAAUUCUUCAUCCCGCAAGUAAUAGCCUCAUACACACCGUAAAGAAGCUUUACGUCAAAAUCAAACAGGAAAAGUUUAGUUCCUGGCCUGAUCUUCUCAACAACAUUCAAUUUAGCUAAAGGAACCCCGAAUACUCGGUACUGAUAGCACUGCGGUUUCGUCUGCCUGUUACACAUGAAUAUGAAACCAGAGAUUGACUCCAGAUUUCUUGAUUUCUGUGAAGUAACCCCACGGACUUGGGAAGGAAGUGCAUGAGAUGUAUGGGCCAUUAGAUUACUCCCAUCAGUGGUCUCCAUUCUCCCAUUCACAUGUAGAUGACUUAUAUCUGUCACCAUUGCAUAACACUGGUCCUGCAGAGGAAUCAAACAUCAGUUUAUCAAUCCGAGCCACCGCACUGCUGCAAACAAAUAAACCCAGCAACCAUGAAGAGCAGUAGAGUAGACAAACACAUUAAGCAGCGACUUCACUACAUCGCUGUAACAGCAGAAUGCAAAGACAUCUGUUAACUAGUGUCUUGGAAUGGCUACAUGAUUCAUACGAUUCAUGGAAUUCCAAAUCAGAAGUCCUUUCAAGAAGAGAAAAUGUAGUGAAACCCUAACUUCCAUUUCCCAGGGAAGCUCCAAUGUAGAAUUACCGCAGAGAAAUCUAAACCAAAUUUGCAGGGUAUGUCCUUAUUGAAAGCAACUGGCAAAGCAAACAAGAACCAAUAUGGAAGCGUGAGCUUCAUGGAAUUAAAAUAACUUCCGAAAUGGAGUCUAUAUACGACACGCCGGGAUUGAAAAACUCUGUUAGAUCCCGAGAAUUCUUGAAUUGGCUUGUUAGCAUCGCAAGGCAAGAACGAAAAGCAAGAGCCGGAAAGUUUGUAACAGGAAACAGAAAUGGGAGUCGGAGAGUACAAAAUUGCUGUAGGCGGCGCUGCGGUAGAAGUUUAUGAGAUCGUCGGAGGAGCGGUUUCUGUGUGCGGGGGAGAGUAAAGCUUCCUACUAGUCUUCAAUUUCUAACGUCGCCCAAUAGAUCUCCGUGGGGCUCUGGCGAUUUUAACCAUCGUCGGGUAAUCUGUCAGAACUCAGAACCCGAGCUGAUCAAAUGGGUAAUCCGAGUUAAUCAAGUAUUUUUUACAGUGAGUAAUUAUUUUUUAUAGUAACAGAGUCUGAAAACUACACUUAAAAAACAGACCGUAUGAGCCUCUUGGCUUAGUUUCGUGGUAAAUAAGAAAAAUUCGAAUAUUCCAGUCUUUCUUUUGGAAUCUUUAGAAUUUAGGUUAGCAUGUUGGUAGUUCGUACGUGAUGUUCAAGUACCCGCGUAAUAUAUUAUUAAUAAGUUUCGAUAACCGUUCGUGAUCAUAGGUGUAUAUAAACUUGUAACUAGGAUAACAAACCACAUGUUACAAAUAAUCUAACUUUGAAGUAACAUCGUUCGCGUUUUCAAGAUCUAAUAACUAAUGUGUAAAGUUAUAAUUUUAUAAGAUGGCUAAUAUAUCAACUCUAUCUAUUAAGUGUUUUCAGAUUUAAAAUUUUGUUGCGUCGACAUAUUUAAGAAAUGGAGCCUAUUUAGNNNNNNNNNNNNNNNNNNNNNNNNNNNNNNNNNNNNNNNNNNNNNNNNNNNNNNNNNNNNNNNNNNNNNNNNNNNNNNNNNNNNNNNNNNNNNNNNNNNNNNNNNNNNNNNNNNNNNNNNNNNNNNNNNNNNNNNNNNNNNNNNNNNNNNNNNNNNNNNNNNNNNNNNNNNNNNNNNNNNNNNNNNNNNNNNNNNNNNNNNNNNNNNNNNNNNNNNNNNNNNNNNNNNNNNNNNNNNNNNNNNNNNNNNNNNNNNNNNNNNNNNNNNNNNNNNNNNNNNNNNNNNNNNNNNNNNNNNNNNNNNNNNNNNNNNNNNNNNNNNNNNNNNNNNNNNNNNNNNNNNNNNNNNNNNNNNNNNNNNNNNNNNNNNNNNNNNNNNNNNNNNNNNNNNNNNNNNNNNNNNNNNNNNNNNNNNNNNNNNNNNNNNNNNNNNNNNNNNNNNNNNNNNNNNNNNNNNNNNNNNNNNNNNNNNNNNNNNNNNNNNNNNNNNNNNNNNNNNNNNNNNNNNNNNNNNNNNNNNNNNNNNNNNNNNNNNNNNNNNNNNNNNNNNNNNNNNNNNNNNNNNNNNNNNNNNNNNNNNNNNNNNNNNNNNNNNNNNNNNNNNNNNNNNNNNNNNNNNNNNNNNNNNNNNNNNNNNNNNNNNNNNNNNNNNNNNNNNNNNNGUCACGGAUAUAAUUGAAAUCAUGACCAAUUGAUUACAUUUUCAAUUAUAAACCAUGACUAACCUCUGUCUGUCACGGAACAAAAUUGUGACCCCUUAGUCCCGGAUGGUAUAGUCACGGUUCUUUCUUAGGUGACUAAUGUAAGUAGUUGAAANNNNNNNNNNNNNNNNNNNNNNNNNNNNNNNNNNNNNNNNNNNNNNNNNNNNNNNNNNNNNNNNNNNNNNNNNNNNNNNNNNNNNNNAUUAGAAAUAGAACGAUAUAUAACAAAUCGAUCUUAUUAUGUGGAAUCAUUCUGGUUAAAGAUUAGAAGGGUAAGAGAUGGUUAUGUUUGAAGGAAUGUAGAAUGGAAACUGAUUUAUGUUUUUUAUACAGAAAAUAAAUUCUUAAGAAUCAUAAGAAUCCAAACAUAACCAUCUUUUACCCUUCCAAUCUUUGAGCCAGAAUCGGGAUUUUUUUUUUAAUUCUAUGAUGGUUAUGAGAUGGUUUUUUAGGGGUAAGAGAUGGAUAGAUGGUUAUGUCGGGGGAUUUUUAGAUUAUUUUUAUUUUAUAAAUUAGAUAGAAAUUGAUUAGUAAUUUUUAAUAGGUUUUCACGGUCACAUAUCAAUUUUAAUAAUUUAUUAAUAGAUUUUUAGCUAUUGGUAAGUGAUGUGCAAGGUGAUGUGGCAUUAAAUAAAUAAUUGUUAGGGAUGGAGAAGUCUAAAUGGAAAAAAAUUUAGGCAAUAUUAAAUCGGAAAUGAUGUAGAUAAUCAAAUCUAAACCUUAAUUACACGAAAUGGCAAUCCUGGCCACUUACAUUGCGUUGAAGAAUCUUGAAGCUUGUUGUAAGACUCCUCCUAAUUGUCAUAGGUCAUCUUCAUAGCUCUCUGCUUCCCGUACCACCCCUUUCUCUACGAGAUCUGACGUUGGAAAAGGUGUGGAAUCUCAUCUUGGAUCAAACGGAUCAGAAAGUGUGGCCUUGACCGGACAAGGUGCAUCACCGCAUCCACGAUGACAUUCACAUCUAGUUCGAUAGAUUCUACUUUGUGCUCGCUUCCGUCACAUGUGUGUUGUGGAUUCCACUGCUGACCCGCCCAGAACCCAUCACCUGCGCUGCCGGUGACGCGUAACCUCCAUGGACAGUUGUUAGUUUUGUGAGAAUAACACAUGACCUCCAACUCCCAAGUCUUUGAGUGAGACGUCGCCAGGGCUCGAUUGUUAUGCAAUGCCCAGUGUUUUACGGCAAAACUUGCCUCCUUCUUCGUGUAAAACCGUCGGUCGAUGUAGAAAUGUUGACGGGUGGGGUCAAAAUCCGGGAUCUCAGGGCAACCCUCAUAGUGGUCAGCAGUCAUCAUCUUGUUGAUGUUAUCGCCCAACGUUGUGUACAGCUCGGGUGCCGUUAUAGGCCACCUACAAUGCGCCGCGCUUCGUAGGAUGCACCGCGCGUUGUAAGUGGCUGAGUUUGUCAUUUCGUGUAAUUAAGACUUCGAGUUGAUUAUCUACGUAAUUUCCGAUUUAGUAUUACCUAGAAUUUUUUUUCCCUUGUUAAAUUAGCAAUGCCACAUAGGUAAUAAAACAAGUUUCAAGAAGAAAACAUUUAUGAUUGAGAAAUACAUUUUUUUUAUUUUUGGUGCACAAAUAUUGUUAAAAAAACUUAAAUAAUUUUUAGAAAUUGUUAAAGGAUUGUAGGGAUUGAGAUGAUUAGAAAUUGAUUAAUAAAUUAAUUGCUAAAGUUGACGAUUUGACACUAACAAAUUGUUAAACAACUUUUGGGAUGGAGAUGAUCUAAUCACCUCUAUCCCUAAAUUUGUUUAGCAAUUUCUAAAAAAAUUAAUUCUGUUAGAAAAAAGUGUUUUUCGCUUAUGUUACAUUGUUAAUAUAAAUGCUUUUCUUAAAAAAUCGGUUCAAUUAUUUACGUGGUAUUGUUAAUAAAAUUGCUAAUUCAGUAAUUUGUAAUAAAAGUUUUAACUUAGCAAUCAUUUUUCCAUCACUAACAAUUACUUAUUAAAUACUACAUUAUUCUCCACAUUAUUUAGCAAUUAUUAAAAAAAUUAUGGAUGGAGAUAUUCUUAGGAUUGUUAAUUUAAUUCUAUAAAAACGAAUUCAUGUUUUUAUGUGGAAAAUGAAUUUCUGUACAAUGGCCAUGAAAUGAAGCUCACAGCACUUUCCCUUGAACGAAAUCAACCCAACAAAAAUCUUAUACCCAUAUUCAACAUGUCUAUGCGUUUUUUUAAGUAAUGCGUAUCGUAUAACCAAUGAUCAAGUGUUUGCCAAAGGGACCUUACCUAAAGCGAUUGUAGUCGAGAUAAGGGACCGCUUAGCUAAUGCAUGGGCGACCCCUGUUCAACAUGCCUAUGCUAUGCAUCUCUAAGUAUAUAGACUCCUGUUCUUUAGUGUACAUACAAAAUCUGCCUUGGCAAGCCCGCAAGAUAAGUGUUCCAAUGUCUAAAGAUCGAAAGAGGAUGGCUAAUUCAACCUCAAUGAACCUGACUAUAUCUUGUGCAAGCCAAUGUGGAGAUCAGAAGAGAUGGAGAUCAGUAGACGCUGAGAGCAAUGCCACUCGGCUUUGAAGACUCGUUUCUGAUGAGCUCUUAUUGAUUGCGAUGGCUUGUGACCGUUAUACCUGAUGUCGAAUAUGUGGAUUACAGGAUCAACCGACCCGGACGAGAGGUACAAUCCGUCGUGAGACCAACCUUGAUUAAUCAGAGCCGAUUGUGAGUCGCUGCUUUGUUGUUUAAACCCGAAUGUGUGGAUCUCGGUCUGCCUUAGUCGGAUAUCGAAUAGUCUGAGCUGCUUCUCUGGGGUCCUGUGAAAGAAAUUGAAAGUGGUCAGGAGCUUUCAAUUACUACACUGCAGCUGGUAGCCCCACAGCAAAAGAGACUUGGCAGACAAGUCAGAGAAAACAAACAGCAGGUAGAUUUGGCAACAAGAAUUAUAAUUCAAUGGAAUCUUAAGUUAAGAUAUGUGAAAAAAGGUUGAGUUGUAGUUAAAAAGGGUUGUGAAAGAAAUUGAUUUUGAAUAUGACGAAUUCCUAAAAAAAUUUAAUUUUCAUUUGAGUAGAUUGGGAAACAUAAUUUCACAUGAAAUCCUCGUAUCCUUAUAUCCAAAUUUUCUUCUACAAUCCCUCCCAACUCUAACUCAUCUUUUUUUACCCUAAUUUCAACUCAACUUUUUAUGGAAUCAUGAUUCUUAUUGCCAAAUCUAAUCUAAGGCUUGGUUCGGCAACAUGAAUCAUAAUUUUUAAGAAAACUUAGAAAUAUUCAAUAAAGAAUAGUGAAAGAAAGUUGAGUUAGAAUUGGGAGGGUUGCAAAAUGAAAUUUGGAUUAAGAAAUAUAAAAAUUCCAGAUGAAAUUGUGUUUCCCAAGCUAUUCAAAGGGAACUUAAACUCUCCUAAAUUUUUUUCAUAUCUCUUAAUUAAACAUUCCGUCCACAACUCUCUUCCAUCUUCAACUCAACUUUCUUUCAAGCCUAGCAAAUGCAAAGGUAAUGAAUGUUCAAGGACUGAAGUGUAUCUUUUACCCUGUUUGAACCAUAUAGAGAUUGAAGUCGGCCGGAUUAGGCAACACACUCAUGCAUUUGCUGUCCACUUGAUGCUUAAGUUCUACUCUCCCUGCUUGGACAUCGAAACCGAUGAUUCUCUUGUCUGCACCAGCAGAAAGUACAAUCUGCUUAUGAUGCAUCCCGGCUGCCCCCAUAACAGCAGAAGAAUGAAGGUUCCUGUGCAAAGCCUUUGGCUUCCAUGACUUUUCAGAGUCCUCAUUCCAAGCAACAACGGCGUGAUCACUGCCACUGGUGACGAAAAAGGGAUCUCCCCACGGCAUAAACAUUACGCCAUUUACGAUACCCUUAACGUGAGGCUUUUCUUGUAGAAAAGUUACUCGGCUUUUCUGCCAGUACAAAGAGUUUAUGAGUGACAUAAGCAUGAUGACAUAUGUAGGCAUGUGUAUAUCUAUAAACAAAACUAGGCACGUGAAUUUUUACAGAAGAAGAACAAUUUAGUAUGAAAUAUCAUGCCAGAGUUCAUACGUCAUGUUUGCUAUUCAGAUCAAUAAUUGCUAUCUGAGAGUCGCCACUAUCAGCAGUGUAAGUGGCAACCAAGCUGUUUCCCGAUGGGUGCCAUGCUAUAUCUUCAGGCCACCGUCUGGUUUUCGGAGAAAUGCACUCAGUUGUGUUAAGAAGAGAGGCACUUGACCUGGCAUUUGAAAAGAUAGAAGAAACCCGCAAGAAAAACUUCCUCAGAUGCACACUUAUUAAUACUUAAAAGACGAGAGCAUAAAGGAUCAGAUUUGAUUCAGUAACAUACUAGCUAUAUCAACAGAGUAGCAUAGACAUAACAGGAUAAAAAUGUUUCACUCACGACGAAGCCUGCAGUUGCCACAAAUUGACCAGACCAUCCAAAGCGCUGAAAAUGUUCCAAACAUAAAAGACGUUAAUAUGACAAAAGCAAUUACAAAACUUGCAAAAGAAAAACAAAAGAUUGGACGAAUCAAAAAGAUGAAAUGUGAGCAGUUCACCUGGUAACGAAAAGUUGAUCAUUCACUGGACAAAGUACAAGACUUCUCAACUUUCUCUUGUGCUGACUAGAAAUGUGAUUAUUAGCAUGGCAAUAAAUUGUUUGUGGGGAAGAGUUUCUGCAUACCAUUGGAAUCAAUUCCGUGUGUUCUUUCUGUUCUGGGGACAUGUUAUGACAUAAUCCAGUAAAUCUCAAAUGCAAGUAAUAUGUUAGCAAAUGAAUACACGACGAUAAACGAUAAUCUUACCACGUCUCCUCUUUAUUCCUUUAUCCUGGUUCUCAACCGUACGACUUCUAUCCGACUUUUCCGCUUUUACUUUCGAAACAGUAUCAGUGCGGUGUGAAGAACUCGUCUGAGCACUGGAAUGAACGGAUAUCGUUGCGCCAGAGCCUCCUGAUUGUAGAGUCUUUGGAGUCACAGCAGGGAUAACAAGUUCAGUCCUAGUCUGAGUUUGAUUCCCUGGAGAACUUUCAUUAACACGAACGGAACUAGUUAAGCUGUUCCCCAUCUUCAAUCUUUUAGUGUCAUACUCAAGAGAAGUAUUCUGUGGCAUGGUACCUCUCUUGAGACGAGCCAAUUGUGAUUUUGACGUUUGCAAUUUCCUUUCUGCAUCCUCAAGCUGCAGAAAGGAAUAAUCCAAAAGUUAGUCCACCAAAAUAAGACUGCCAACCAAAGAUAAUCGCAAGCAAUGUUAAGUAACCAAGUAUGGCAACAGUCUGUUCAUUGAAAAUUCUACAUAUAAUGAUAAUGUAUAUGAUUUCUUUGUUUUUCUUGUCAGUAAUUUCAUUCAAGUUCCCCGUAAUUCCUAGCAUCAAAGCAGGCACAAAAGCACAUUAAUAUCAAAGUAACACAUUAGAAUGAGCUUAAAGAAUGAAAAUCAAGCCUUCAACAAAUGGCGAAAUGCAAUCAUCAUCACCAUGCGGGAAAGCAUUAUCUCUCAGAAAUCUUGAAAAAGAAUGUUACGGGAGAAUGUAAUAACUAAACCAGAACCUGAGAGGUGUAGUAAUUGAUACGCUUCUUCAGAUGUUCAACUUCACGAGUACGAUGUUCGAUUAGCGCCACCAACGCGGACUCUUCCUCGUCGUCCGUGGUUUCUUCAUUAUCAUCAAAUUCUGCUCCGCCUCCUCCGUUUUGCUCUUUAACCGGAGACUUGUUAUUCCGCCGCCGUACUGAUUCGCCGUCGUCGUCGUGACCUUGCUCAAGUUUCGGCUUCUUCAGAAUAGGUGUAAUCGGGCUCAUUUUUCAAAUCUCUUUCAACAAGAACCGGCUGAGAAUCUGCUCUGCUGUCGUGUUCUUUCCACCAACUGUACCGCCGCGCUGAAAACCUACUAGUAUUUCCGAGAUCAAGGCGCUUGGAAGUGGGCGAAAUUGCUAUGGGUUUGAGAGCCAAUUCUGUAGGAAGCAUCGACAUUCGAUCCAACGAUUAAGAAUUAUUUUCGUCAUUUUUAAUCUGACGGUUAAAAUUUUAUCAUGUGUAUAAAGGGAAUUAAAAAAAUAUUCUCUCUCUUUCAACUUUUCUUUCUCUUCUCUCUACUCUUCUCAUGUAAACUGGAUAUAACAAUGACGUAACAAUGAUAUAAGAUUUUUCAUACAAAGUCGACAUAAUGAGUCUAUUAAAAGGACAUAAUUAAAAAUGCAUAACAUACUCAUAAAGUAUAUAUAUCACCGACAUAAUAGAGUUCUAAACUGGACAUAACGAUGAUGAAUUCAACUACUCGUAAGGUGGACGUAACAACGACAUAAUAAAAGACGCAUAACAUACUCGUAAAGUGUAUAUCACCGACAUAAAAGAGUUAUAAACUAGAGAUAACGAUGAUGAAUUCACCUACUCGUAAGGUGGACGUAACAACGACAUAAUAAAAGACGCAUAACAUACUCGUAAAGUGUAUAUCACCGACAUAAAAGAGUUAUAAACUAGAGAUAACGAUGAUGAAUUCACCUACUCGUAAGGUGGACGUAACAACGACAUAACGAGCCCCAAAAUAGUGCAAAAUUUACCUUACAAUUUUUAUCAAGAUAUUCUCCUCUUCAUAGUCUUGCUUUCCGUGUGGGAGGUUCUCAAUGUAGUAUCAAUGAAUGCUAUGGUUAAAGGUAACGUCCCGACUGGACAACAUGCCAUUCAUCAUCUCCAAGCUAUUCCCAGUUUGGUAACAAAAAGAUGAUACUUUUUCCUUGGACCCAUCCACACUCAUCUCUUCCCCCCUUCAUCCAGAAAAACAAAACCCAGCAGAGAAGGGGAACAAAAAAGAGUGACAUUUAGAUUACAAAGCAAAAGAGAAAUGAAAAGUGAACUUGUAUACAGAGAGUGAGGGCUUUUAUAGAGCUCACAAGACUAUUCCAAAAAUUAUGCGCCUUUUCAUGGUUGACAAAAAGCCUUAGCUUCCCCUCUAUAAUCCUUUUCCCCAACUGAAGGCUUUAAUACAAAUAUGUUCAAAAGGGUUACAAAUGAAGAAGCACCCACCCCGCCAAAUUACAACAUCAAGAAAUAAAACAAAAAACAAUAGGACAGAACAGAGUUUCUGUUCAAAAGUACCCUCUUGGCCAUUCACAGAACUUCGAUGGAAUGGAAAAAACCCGGUCGUCUCUGUUGAAAUGCCAAAAAAUAGAUAAGUCACCUCUAGUGUACAGAAUCGUAAUGGGGGGAUCGAUCGAUCUUCGUAAGGAGUUAGAGUUCGCCUUAAGACCCAAGCAAGCAAGACCUCAGUCAGAAUUAGAGGAUGUGUCCGUUCCAUCCAUGUUUGCGGCCGAUGAUGGGCUCCCUUGACGGUGGUGGUGGUUCCCUUCGUGGCCGCUGGUUCGUGGCCUCCCCAUUCUCGACCUAAUGUUCGUACCCAUGGGGAAAGGCUCCUACAUUCGCACAGACGUAAAAAAAACUAUCAAUCUAUGUGAUGUAAUAAUGAAAGAAAGCUGUCCUAUUUUCGUCAAAAAAUAAACAGAAAUCAUACCGGAUCACCAGCAUUUGGACCUUCUGUGUGGAACAGUAUAGGCCGACAACGUUUAUCCUCAUUCAUCAAGCUCGAAUUCUGGAAAUGGGAAAUAAGAGCAGCCUUUCCUUGAAUCCGAGCAUAUGCCAAAGAUGCCACCUUUUCACUGUUGAACUUCUCCCACUUUUUCCCAUUGAACGCCUGCAGAAAAGAAAAGCCGUAUAUGGUUAUAUCUGUUAGCUUUACUAGCACUCCGAAAAGAAAUUCAGUAAGCUCUACCGACCUUAUGGAAUGGAAUGAUCUGUUGCGGAUCAGUCAUGUUGAUGAAUGCAUAACCCACAUUGCAUUUAUUCUGUUGAACAAAAAAAAAUCUUUGUUAAUGGGGGGUCAGUUUGACAAAGAAGCAGCAAAAGGACAGGAGAUGAGAUAACUUGCCUUGAAGUCGAUUGGCAGAUAGAGAAAAUCAUAAGAUCCGCGGCAGUACUCAUCAAUUGCAGCAAGAAGCAUCUUUGAAGUGUACCUGUCAAGAGAUUUAAAAUUGAUUGGUCAAAAGGAAGCCUGGAAAAUCAUAAUGCUUGAACCCAGUUCAAAUGGCUUAAAAGAUUUUGUACAUACUUGUUUGGAAUGUUCUUUAUCAUCAAUGUGGUCCGGCUAUCUUCGCCACGUGCGAUGCGCUCAAUAUCAAGUUCAAACUGCUUCUUAUCUGACUGAUUGGAGUUGGAUUCCAUUCUGCGAUGUGACAAAUUCCUGACGCGGUCAUUCGGAGAAUCAAAAGAUGAAGGCAUUGAAACCAUUUGGUUUCUUCCAGGGAAAAGGUGGCACAUUUGCUGAGGUGAGCGUAUCCCAGCGGCGCUUUUUGUUAUGUCAACACAAUUGUUAUUAACGUGCGGGAAAAUGUUCUCCAUAGGAUGUGGUGGAGAGCUACUAGCAAAUCCCCCCAUGCUUCCGAGCGAACCCAAAUGGAAGCUGGAAGGGUCUGGAGAGUCCCACAGGGACUGGUUGACAGCUGGCGCAGAGCCAACAUGGUGGGGUGCAGGUCCUCGGCUCAGCAUCCCGGUAGGUGCCCUCGGAAGUCCAUUGAGAUGAGAAAGAGGAUGAGCACGAAUACCGUUGACAAAGGAUCCAGAAUUAGGCCACAUCAUGAGAUUAGCCGGCUUUGGAUGAGCAGAGGUGGAAUUGUUCCAUGAAUAAUGACCAGGGACGCUUCCGUUUCCAGGAGAACCGAAACCAAAAGAACCUAGGGAAAAAUUCAAGUCAGCGGUCACAUUGAUGUAUUCUCCAUCAACAUAUGAGGCAUCUACCUCAUAGUCCAUAGUUCACAAAGUCACAGUAGUAGUAACUAAAAUGCAGCAUAAACGAGGCGAAGAGAACAUACCACGACUAUUAAGUUCCAUCAUGUGCACAUUAGAGGAUACUCCACGACCAUGCCUACCAUUAAUUCCCUCCAUUACUUGCGAACCAACACUACCAGCCAUGCCUCCUAGGGUGCUUGCAGAGUUGUAGGGAAUUCCAUUUGUCAGACCAUCAUGGUACUCUGGAAGCGAAUGAGGAUGGAAAGUGGACAUGCUAUGAUUACUAAAACUAAUUUCCUGAAUGGAACGUUGGUGAUCAGGGUGGCUGAAUUGCUUGGCAACUGAUGCUUCUCGAGACCGUAGAUGAUUCGGAACACUAGAACUCCGAUGAGGAUCAAUAAAUGCACCUAUGGGGGAAUGCGCAACCUGGGAUGGUAUGCCAUCCAUGCAACUGGAUGUCAUCACUCCAGAAUAUGCUGCUGCACAUAGUUUUUUUAUAAAGAUAAGAACACUGACUAAAGCUCUUUUCUUAGUAUUUUGCAAAAAGACUGAAUAGAACUUACCCAUUUGCAUAGAAGACAAGUCGUCAAUUUGACUUCCAAGACUGGUUUCAUCUUGCCCCUGCACUGACCUGUAAAAGGAACUAUUCUACAUCAAACCAAAAGCGAAAACUAAAAGGAACAAACAAAAGUCGGCUUCCUGUGAAGUAAUCAAACACUUGGAAAAAAUCUUUGAAGUACUUAUCACGGUAGCAUGCAAAAGCCUAAUGGACAUUGGUCAACGGAAAAUCCAGUGUUUGUAGUUUUGUUAAAUCAAGAUUGAUGCUGAAAGGAAAAAAUUAAACAGCACAACUAUGAGUUGAGAAUACCGUCUUGCAGCACCCAUUGUGCCUGCUUCAAGUUUAAUCUGCUUCCCAGCAAUCUCAGUUCUAUCUAAGGCGUUGAGGGCAGCUUCUACAGAUCUCACAUCAUAGUACUCUAUGAGUACAUGAUUAUGCUUAUUUUGGUUGCCAUGGACCUGAAACCCAAAGAUACAACUGUAAAUAUCUGCUGCAGGCAGUUACUUCUGAUAACGUGAAACAGCACUGAAUCCACAAGAUCACCUCUUUGAUUUCUCCAUAAACAGCAAAUAUCUGCUGAAGCUCAUCUGUUGAAACAGAGGAAUCAAGGUUGAGAACUGUUAGGAUUCCUUGGUUGACAUCUUUGUCUGAUGGAUUCUCCUGAUAAAUUAACAGCAACAAAUCAGUAACAAAGUUCCCAAUGAACAAAGCAACUGCUCCAGAAAGCCCAAAUAGUAAUUAGCACACAAUAACCAGUUACCUUUGGAAUUGAAAAGUGUAUGUCAAGUUUUCUACGUCUCAGAGGCUUAUGUUGAAGUGAUUGCAUCGCAUUUUGAGCAGCUCGUAUAUCAUAAUACGAGAUCAUUACAAAUCCGCGAUGCUUGCAAGUUGUGUACAAGGUUCGUAUCUCCCCAUAUUGCUGAAAGAAAGAAUGAGAAGGUAAGACUGGCGGGAUGGAGGGAAAAACGUCAGUUACAUCAUGGAAGAAAAAUUACUGGAAAAGGAAUAGCAUGCACCUCAAAGAGUGUUUUCAAUUCGGAAUCUUCCACAUUACUGUUGAUGUUUCUAACGAAAAGUGUUCUGGAAGGCAGUUCUCCAAAGGGGUGUUUACUAGUGAUGGAACCACUAGAAAGUGCAAACAGAUCAGCAUUUUUUCGCCCAGCAAUGAUAUCCCCUUCUAAUUCCAUUCCUCCCCCACUGCUAAAAAGAUCAAAAUCUUCUAAAUCAUCUCCAACAGUGCCGUUGACAAUACUCCCCAAGUCAUUAGUGAUGCCAGAAAAUAGAUCAUCGUCAGCAGGGAGAAGAUUCCCAAUAGUCUGUGCCUCAAUUUCUUCAAGAGACUCAAAGGGCUCUUCCUCAAGAGCAGAAACAGCAACUUUUGUCGGUUCUCGAGAUUGAAUGUCAUUACCCAUUAACCUCACUGCAGAGCAUCCAUGGAACAUAUAGUUAAGCAUGUGGAAUAGAUUUCUAUUGCUAAGGUGAUAUAUAAGAGGCAAUGAAAUGAUAAAAAGAUUUAUCCCACUAAGAGCGUACUUUUCCUAUUGAAUAUUUCAGAAAAUGAGCUUGAGAACAAACUGCUCUCCCACUCAGUCCCAGUAAUAUUAGCUCCAUUUUGGCGCAAACUAUGAGCUGCUGCAGGGUGUGAUGACAAACUAGACCACGACUUUGGAUGGUGAUCGACAGAAUUCCAUCCAGCGUUAGAUGUCCCUUCCCCAUUGCUUAAUUUUCCAUUACUAGGUCUAGUGACGAUUGACCGAGGCAGUUCCAUUGACAGAGCACUAGCUGGCGAAAGGGAAUCAAAGGGUGACGAAGCAACAAAUUUGUUUCCAGGUAUCGGCAUGGUUUGAUGUCCACCUACAGAAAGAGUCAAAUUUCAUAAGAAAAAAGGUAGAGAACGCCAUCAAACACAAAGUGUACCUUGAUACAGUUCAGGAUAAAAAUGUGAUUGAAAUGACCCCGCACCUUGGUGGUGAUCCGUCAUUGCAUAUGGUUUCCUAAACCCAACUUGUCUCUGCACGAUGAAAACCACCAAAGAAGUGAACAAAAACAAGAUACAAAUCAGCCGGAGAUUCUUGAAAGCAUAGGAAAAAAUGGAUACCUCGGCAGGAAGACAAAUGUCCUCAAAGAAAUGGGAAGAAGCAGUAACACCCCUUUGAUCCAUGAUCUCAAACGGCAUGGUGGAGCUGAAAAAAGUUAGAUAUCAGAAGCUAUCCACAACUGGCAACAUAACAAGAACUCAGUUAGCUUUCCCCAGUUGAGACAAAAAGGUGGGGAGAGAGAUCAUAUGUUCAACAACCAACACCACAGAAAACUCAAACAAAGACAGACGACCCAGAAAAUGGGCAGAGAGGAUAAGGAAAGGACGUGUCCAGAUCAGCAAACGAAAUUAAUAGAGCGGCAGAUCAUAUAUAACUUUAACUUGUGAAAAACGCACAGCAGUCACUGAAUUGUAGCAAAAGGGAGAAAGAAUAC